UUUAACCUAAAUAAUAUUUGUAAAAGAUUAUUAACCACUUAAUGAAUGAGACACAUCACAUACAAUAAUAUCUAGGACAAAAUAUAUCAUUACUAUAUUUUAAUUACUUGAUAAAUGACACAUCACGUACCAUAAUAUUUGGAUAAUCAAGAGUUGAUCAUAUGCAAACAGAGUUUAUGUCAUUGAUCAUUCAACUCUUCAUUGGGCUUGCUCAUCUUUACGCACAAAGUAGUCAACGUAACAUAGAAUUGACCAUAGAAUUUUGAAACAAAAGAAUGGGAAAUGGGAAGAGUUGGCUCAAUAUAAAAGGAAAAUACCAAAUGUUUUACCUGGAUUUUGGAUGAUCCAAAUAAAAACAAUAAAAUAGUGAAAAGGAGACAAACGUUGGAUGCUGCCUUGCUAUGUUUGUAGUGUUCUCCUAAAGAUGGGGAGGAUAGUUAGGCGAUCUAAGUGUGUGAUGAAAAGAGGACAAAGAUGAGAUGAAAAUAAAGAUGAAGGCCACCAAAUUUUAUUUGAAUGAAAUCUACAAAACAGGGCAAAUUUUGACGUUAGAGAUGGAGUUAGCAAUGACCGGCGAUCACGCUGCGACACUCAAGUUAGACUUUAAAUGUUGAGGAGCUGCUCAUGGUCAAAAGUGGAUCUUAAAGCUAUUAAAAAUGAUAAGUAUGCUUUUGUGAAGAAGAUGAGGCAAAUUUUAAAGUGACGAAAGUUUGUCCCCAUUUGAGAGUGAACCUUGAGCUUUUGUGGAGUGUGCUUGAGGAGCAUUUUAGUAGUUUCAAACACGUGGCACUCAUUGAUUGGUUGCCCUCCUUUGGGUGACACGCUUAGGUGUAAGAGGCAAAGAACCAUCAGCCACCCUUUUGCCUAUUAUUUUAUACAUGUGGCAACCUCUCCAGCCAGUGGGCCUACUGUCUUUUGGACCACUGCAGAGGAUAGUUAAUGUGGCAGCCGCUCACUGAUCAUCCUAGGAAUCUCUCCUUCCACUGUCUCCUUGCAUUUAGCAAAAGUGAGAUAUUUUUUAUUUUACAAAUGAUGGCAUGCACUGUUCACGUGCGCCUCCAACCAGCGAAAAAUCUAGUUUCCAAUUAUGCCAUUUGAUAUUACGUGUUUUGCUGAAACUGCCCUUAUUUUCAACGGGCUUAUUUGCUGGCUUGCUUUGAGCUAUCCUGACAUGCUGGUCAAAUUGCUCUGCUUUUUAACCCCCUCUUGCCAGGUGUUUCGUCAUGCCAUUGGUUCACAUUUACACUCAUAAUUCGUCCCAAAUACCAAAUAUUACCUCUAACUUUUGCUUACCAUUCUAGACUCUUUUACUCCGGCACCAAACGGUUUUUUGGGCUUUUAAUUUUGAAUUGUGAAUGUGAAAAAAAAAACAAAAAUUGUACAAAUUGUUAUAGUACUAAAUCACUGUUUUUAACUCCAUCAAUGAAAAUUUAUAUGGUUGUACGCACUAUGGGUGCGUUUGGCGCACUGUAUUGUAUUAUGCUGUGUUACAUUAUUUUAAUGCAAGUGUAUUGUAUUAUGCUGUAUUGCAUUAGAACUGUAUUAUAAUAAUAUUGUACAACGUUUGGUACUACACUGUAUUAAUUUUUAAUAAAUAUUUGAUAUUACACUAUGCUAUAUUAAUUUUUUAAUGAGUAAUUUAAAUUAUAUAUUUAUAAAAUAACAUUUAUUAGUAGUUAGAAAAAUACUAAAUAUAGAAUUCUUAAAUUUUAGAAAUUUAAUAUUAUCUUUUUGGUAUAAACAUUGAAAAAAAAUCAUAAUUCUUCGUAAAGAUUGAAAUAAAUAAUUUAAUCAAAUAACCUUCAAAUAAUAUUAUAACAUAAAUAAAUAAUUAAAAUGUACAAGAUUAAGUUAAAAAUCAUUUUAAGAUAAUAAAAUUAAAAAAUUACACAUACUAUAAAAUAAUAUAAUAGCUGUAGUACGAUAACCAACAAAAUAGAUUGUUAAAAAUAAUUCAAGUAAUACAACAAUAUUUACAACCAACGUUUUUGCUAUCUUUCUCUUUUAAAAACUCUUUUUUAGUUUUAUUCUCAGAACUUCAUAGUUCUUUGUUUUUUUUUUCUUUGCCUCUAUGUUCUUUUUCUUUAUUUUCCUUUUCCUUUUUUUUCUUCUGUUUCCUUUUUCAUUCUUUUCCUUUUCCUCUGUUUUUUAUCUUUCUUUUUCUUAUAAGUUCCCUUUGGGUGAUUUGUCGGAGAGUUGUGUGGCUUUGAUUGCUGGGUCUUUAAGAUCGCCUUCGAUGGUUUUGGUGCUUGGGUUCUUUUGCAUGCCUUCGUCGCCGACGCCAUAGUAUGUGAAAGAAUAUGGCAAUUUUCUAGAGCUUGAAUAGCUAUUUUUCCGGUGGAAUCGGCACCUGCGGCGGCGGGGAUGAGGUCAUGCUCGUCGGAGAUGGUGGUUGUGGACAUCUGGUUCUUGUUGCGGACAUUUCUCCUUUCUUCGUCUCCUUCAUUUUUCCUUUUUUUUUUCCUCUUUUUCUCCUUCUAACACAGUGAGACGUAAUUCCGACUCCCCCACGAGUUUUUUUUUAUGUGGUAUUUGAUGUAUUACAAUAGUAAUUUUAUGUGGUCUAAUAUUGUGUUAAUUUUCGCCAAACGUAGUAUUGUAUUAAUUUAAUACAAUACAAGAUUAUAAUGAGGUGUAAUGCUGGGUGCCAAACACGCCCUAUAUGAUUAUAGAUCAGAUUCCUAAAACAUAUUUAGAUGUGCUUGGCGUUGGGGAAGCGUAGAUAUAUUAUUAUUUCCAAAUAUUAGUACAUUUAAAAAUAAAAAAUAAAAAUCAUACGAUUACCGCCCCAUGGAACAUGACUGUGCUAUUUGGUCAAGAUCCGGCGGCUACCCGGGCCCCGUUUAAUAAAGCGAAGAGAAAAAUUGACCAAAAACUUGGACCGAAAAUUUUAGUUGCAUGAUUCACCACAAUUUUGCAAUGUUCAGUUAUCAUACUUUAUUCCAAUAAAACAAUUAUGGGAACCGACGACAAAAUUUCGAUGCGAUUAGCAAGGGGUGCAUGAGUGAGUGCCAUGACUUAUUUAAUAAUUAUAAUUAUUUAUUUUAUUUCAAAAGUUGUUUUUAGUAUUAUUUAGUUAUAUUUAGGUAGCGUUUACUUUUUGGAUUGGAGUAGGAAUCCUGAAGAGUGGGAAUCCUAGGAUUGAGAGUGUGGAGUGGGAGUGGGAGUAGGUUGUUUACUUACACUGGAAUGGAAGUAUGGAAUGAAGAUCAGAAUCCAAUUUAUGUGUUUACUUUGUCUUGGAUUGAGAGUAAAUAGUUUCAAAUUAUAAUUUUAUCCUUAUUUAAAGAAUUAUAGUUUUUAAUUACAAAGCUAAUAAAAAAUAUAUUUAAUGAAUAAAUAUUUAUUUUAUUAUAUUUGUAAAUUUAUAAUAAUUAUUAAUAUUCUUAAUUAUGAACAUCACAUUUUUUAUUACUUUUAAUUCUAAUAUAAAAUGAAACAUUAUUUUAUUUUAUUUAAUAUAAUUAUAUUAAAUUUAUUAUUAUAUAAAAUAAUAAUAUAAUAUUAUUUAGUACAAAAUUAAUAUUUUCUUAGAAUAAAAUAUUUAUUAUUAUUAUUAUUAAAUAAAUAUAGUACUAUUAUUUUUAAAAUAAAUACAAUAAUAUUAUAUUUAUUAAUUCUCUAUUAAUAUAAUAAUAUUAUUUUAAAAUAAUUUUAACUUAAAAUCAAUACAAAUUAUUAUUUAGUUAAAUAUAAUAAUAUUAUUCAAAUAAAUAUAAUAAUAUUUAUUUUCUUUUAUUAAUUAUAAAAUAUUAAAUUAAAUUAAAAAAAUAAAAAGGUAAAAAAGGUAGAGGUGAGAGUGGAUUCCCACUCCCACCUCCCCCAAUGGGAGUCCCACUCCCACUCCCCACUCCAAAAAUGGGUGGGGCCUACGGAGUGGGAUUCCCACUCUCUUCCCAUUUCGAGGAAGUAAACGCUGGAGUGGGAGGAAUCCAUACUCCCCACUCCCACUCCAGCAAGUAAACACAGCAUUAAAAUAGAGUUCUUGGGAAUCAACUUAUGCAAAAUCUCAAAUUUUGAAUUUUUUAAAGAAAGUUGUUGGGAAUUUUUUAUAAAAUUAUUUAUUUUAUUAUCUUAUUCCAUUCAUUUCAUAGUAUAAUUUCAAUAUACUUGUUGAUUAUAAUAAUUUUAUAAUAUUUAAUAAAAUCUCUCAUUAACAAUCAAAUAUAUUUUUUUAUGAAUAAAGGUUCUAUUUUUAUAAGCUCUGAUAGUAAAAAUUCUUACUUGAAUAAUUUUAUUUAAAGAAAUGAAACUUCAAAUAAGUUAUACCAACUAUGUACCUAAUUUUGCUUUGCUUCCAUUUGAAAUAAUAGAAUAUAAACAUCCAUUACCAUUUCUUAACUCUUAAUCACAAUACAUGUAGCAUUUUUUUUUAAUCUAAAAUCUGAAUGUGGUUUGAACAUUAUUGAAAUCUAAAUGGGUCUGAAUGCAUAUGUCACAAUUAUACACACACACACACACACACACACACACACACACACACACACACACACACACACACACACACACACACACACACACACACACACACACACACACACACACACACACACACACACACACACACACACACACACACACACACACACAUAUUAUUUUUUAUGUCUAAGUAUGAGUGGUAAGUUAUUAUAAACUCAAAACAUCUUAAAUAUUUGCACUUAUGACCUUGAAAGUGUUAUAUACUUCAAGGUUGAAUAUGUAUAUAUUUAUAGUGUUUUCUAGUAUAAUAGUUUUUUAUACGUUAUAAAUAUUUGUAAAGUAAGCAUUUGAUAUAUAUUUUAUGAAAAAUAAUAUUGAUAAUAUUAUUUUUUACAAUUUAACAUAAUAUUUAUACGUGAAAAGUUGUUAUCUAAUAAAUGGAAGAGUUUUUUUAAAUUCAAAUUAAAUGUAUGUUAAGUAUUUAAUACCAAGUAAAAUUUGAGAUAAAGAAAAAUUUUAGUGCGAUAUCUAAUAGAUAAAUGGAAAAUAAAUAUAUUUAAUGAGGAUAUUUCAGUGAAAAAAACUAAUUUUCCAUUCUGACAUUUUAUCAUUAAGAUAAAAAUAAAAAAAUUUUAUUUUUCCAUUAAAAUAAAAAUAUCUUAUAAUAAGACUGCAAAUACAAAUCAAGAAUUUAGACAAUAAAACAAUCAUAUCCCCAUUUAGUUGUUUCCGCUUACACCUCCUUUAUUAAUUUCAAAGGAAAUAUUGUGUCAGUGUGGGGAUACUGAGAUACGUGAUGGAUGUAUCCAUACAAAUUCAUUUUCUGAAGUAAGGUUCAUUUGUGGAGUCAUGCUAGGGCUAUGUCGGCAGCACAUUGUAGCCCAAUGUCCUGGGUCCGGCCCACUGACAGCAUUAUUAGGUGGUAUAAUAACAUCAGCCUCUUUGAUGUUAUGCAUAUUCUUAAAUAAAGGCAUAGUCUAUUCAUUUACAUCAAAUAGGUCCGCCCAUCUCAACUAUCCAGGAUUCUGCACUCAUGCAAAUGACGUUGAAUUUUGUCAAAUGCUCGAGUAUUUUUCUGUCUUUAUAACAGUUUCUACUUUUCUUUUCCUAUUUUUCUUUUAAUCAAAUUUGUCUGAUUCAUAAAAAAAAGGUCUUUGCAAGCGGAAGUAUCAAGUAGAGGUGGCAAAAUUUGACACGAUCCGAUUAUCCGACACGAAUAAAUAAGUAUGUAUUAUCGAAUUUAACAUGAUUAUUAAAUAGGUUGGGUCCGGGUCGACACAAUUUUUUCCGUGUCGGGUUAGUGUUAAAGUUCAUAAUCUAUUUACCUGAUCAAUGACCCGAUUAUAUUUUUUAUUUUAAAAUAAUUUGUAAGUUCUUAUUAUCAAAACUCAAAUAUUAGAGAUGAUUCUCUCUUUUAUUUUUAUUUUUUGAAAAGAUAAAUAUAAACACAAUAUUUUAUUUAUAAAAUUUUAUAUACAUUUAGAGCUUUAAUAAUGUAAUUAUGUAAAUGUGUAAAAUAUUGAUAGAUAUGUAUAUUUUAUAAUCUCGAUAUAUAAUAUUAUAUAUAUAUAUAUAUAUCUAAAACUUUAAUAGUAUAAAUGUGUAAUAUUUUGGUAGAUAUAUAUAUUUUAUAAUAUCAAUAAAUUAUGUAUGUACAACAAUGUGUAAAUGUUUGAUAUAAAUUUUGUUUAAUAUAUAGAUAUUAAGCGAGUUAUUGAGUAAUCCGAUUAUUUUUUGUGUCGGGUUUGAGUCUUAAUAUUGUGACACGAUUAUUAAAUGGGUUGGGUUUGGGUCGACCUAAAUUUGACACGAUACGAAGCUGACACGACACGACACAAACACGACCUGAUGACCCGUUUUGCUAGCUCUAUGGUACUAAGGGACUUAUUUAAUAUGAAAGGAAAUGUUAUGUCCUUAUGUGAGAAAUCAUAAAGUAGUGACCGGGAUUCGACCAGACCCGAAAUCACCCGGCCCGAACCAAUGAGAGCAAAGGCAGCAGUAAAAGAGAGAAGCGGAGACCAUUUUCAAAUUCAACACAAAAACCGAACAGUGACCUGAAGCCCUAACCCCACCGCCAUCUCCGACUCGGCUUUAGUCUCUCAGCCCAUGAAAUUCUCAAUAUUGUCAAACCCUGCCGCUCACCCACCCUCCUCUGUAAUUCACUUCGAACAGUAAACAUCUCUUUCUAGGGUUUCUUCAUCGGUCCGUUGAACAGACCGACGAAAAUGUCUCUCCCUCAAAUACAGUGUAAAUAUAUUACAGAAGAAUGCCUUCGGGAGUGGAAAAACGGAAAUCCUAGCUUCAGAGUCCCUGACCCCGUCCCCAUGCUUCGGUUCCUCUACGAGCUCUGCUCCACCACGGUUCGUUUUUGUGUAAUAUUCAGAGAAGUCUUUGUCUUGUUUAGGGUUGUGGAUUCAUUUAGAUGGACUGCUUGUCGUUUGGCCUUUUCAGGUGCGGGGCGAGUUGCCGUUUCAGAAGUGUAAAGCAGCGGUGGAUUCAGUGGAGUUCGUGGAAAAACCAUCUCAUAGAGUAGUUGCCUCCACUUUCGCUGAUAUUGUCACUCAAAUGGCUCAAGAUGUGAGUUUUUUUUUUUCUUGGUCCAAAUUUUGAGAGAAACUCUAAAGGAAGCUUAGGUUUUCAUUUUGUGCUUAGAGCAAAGAAAAACAUAUGUUCUAGUGAGAUUAAUACUUAACUCAGAUAAAUUGUAUUACCAGGCUUCUGAAUUUGUUAAUACAAAUGUAACUUUUUUCAGGGCUUGUGAAAAUUCUCAAAGUAUGAGAUGAAAUAUAUUUUUAUUUUUACUUUGAUGUGCAAGAUUCUUGGUAUUGGUUUGUUACUCAAUUGCUAAAAGAAUGAAUCUGAGGUUUUGAAUUCUGUUAAUAGGAAUGGUUAUUUGAUUGUCAGUUUUUUGCUGGGUGGAUUAUGGUUUUAUGUUUUUGGAAGUUUGUGAGAACUAGCUCUGCUGACUUGAAUGCUAUAUGUUUGAGAUUAUCUCAGUGAAAAACCAAUGAACCUGAGCUCAGCUCAGGAGAAAUAUUAUAGAUUUCAACUUUGCUGAAGUUUGGCUCGACAGAAUAGUGAGAUCAUCGCAUCUUGAGUUUGAUUUGGAUAGUGUGCUUGCAAUAACAUGAGCAUAAAGGAAGAUUUUACAUGUAUUUUAAGUGCUUCGUAUUGUGUCAUGUAUUUAAAAUAGCGUGUUUUGUUUCAACUUUGUGCUUUGGAACGAUUGGUAAGAUCAGUCGUAUCUGUCUUGUCCAGAAAUUUUGAAUAAAUGUCUCAUCUAUGUAAAAUUUAAACUUGGGAGUGUUACGGUUGUAGUAAAAUUUUGGAGUUAAACCUCAAUUCCAUCAUAAAGGGGAAAUAUGUGACUGGAAGAAAAAUGAAAUUGCCUGUAAUUUAGUUUGAGGUUGGAGUACUUUUAGAUGAAAUGAGCUGAUUAAGCUUUUGGUAUGUUGGCCUAAGCAAUUUACUCUAGGUUCAAUGUGUUUAUAUUCUCCUGUUCAUUGUUAGCUUACUGUGGGGUAUUACUAUCAUAAAUUCAAUGUGGCCUAUUAGAAGCUGCAGUUUAUUCUUUGCACUUUGUGGGUUUUUCCCCAUUUAAUUCUGUAUGUAAGAGUUUAGAAGAGAAAAAUGUUGAAGAAAAGUUUGAUUUCUGGAUUUUCUGUGGCUUUUACACCUUUGCUGGCUUUUGAUGAUAGACUUUCUGGAACUGUUUGUUACACUGGUUUACUUAAACGAAAUCAUUGAAGCAAGAAUGUUGCUGAUCAGGAAUGGAGAGAGUUAUAGAGAGUAAGAGAAGGGGGGUAUUGUAGGAUGCAAGCUACUAAUAACUUCAAGUGUUGUUAUUCACCUUGAGAUCUGAUUUUCAUUUGUUCACUAGAAGUUACAAUUGAGGCCUAUAAAACCCUAAAAAUAUGAUUUGAUCCCAUGAACAAGCACCACUGUAUUGUAUUUAAUUGCUUACAAGGUACCAUUAUUAUGAUUUUUUGUUUUUUGUUUCCUCAUGCGGCCUACAUUUAUCUUUUUUGGGAAAAAAAAAGUUAGUGUGUUCUCAAAUUUUGAUUUACGCUUGUAUGUUCACUUAAUUUUGCAGCUUACAAUGCCAGGAGAGCACCGUGUACGUCUGAUAAAGUUGGUUAGUGUUGAAUCUUUCUAUAUGUGUGAUUUUUGUUGCCUUUUUUUUUUCUUUUGUUAAGUUGAAUUCGGUGUUUUUAUAUUCUUUUUUCUAGGCAAAGUGGCUGGUGGAGUCUGCAUUGGUGCCACUGAGGCUUUUCCAGGAACGCUGUGAGGUGAACUUUGUUAUAGAUUUUUGGAUUUUUGUUUCUUGUUUUAUCCAAUCUUUCAAUAUUUUACUUCACUAGUAACAGAAAGGACUUAAUAUAUGCAUCAUAUUUUGUAGGAAGAAUUUUUGUGGGAGGCAGAAAUGAUCAAGAUCAAAGCUCAGGAUUUGAAGGGUAAAGAGGUUAGUCAUGAUUGUCUGGGAGCUCCCAUUACUUUUUAUUUCACAAUGUUUAAACUAAUGUAAGUUUUUAUUGCUGUAAGCUUACAUGUAAUGGUGAUCAAAGAUCUGUUAUUUUAGCUGCUGCUACGAAUAUGGUAUACACUUUAAUGAAUUGUUUUGAACUGUUACAUGAUGAGUUAUAUGCUAAAUGUACUAAUUCUAAGAUGAUGAUGAUGAUUAUUAUUAAUAUUUACUAAUUCUAAGAUAAGUAGUCGAGCGUCUACUAUUUUAUAUGGAAAUUCUAAUAAAACAUUAUAAUCUGACAAGCAAAUGUAGUAGUCUUCUAUAAAGUUUUCAUGUUUGUUUGUCUGUGUAUAAUGCAGAGUAAUAUUUAGCUGAAAUAAGCAAGUUGGUGAUGACUAAUGGCAGUCAUGUACAAGCACAAUCACGAAUUUGAAAUCUAGAUUUAUGCAAUUGUUGCACUUUUUCUCUUCAUUUCAGGUGAGAGUAAACACUCGUCUUCUCUAUCAACAAACAAAAUUCAACCUUCUACGAGAAGAGAGUGAGGGCUAUGCCAAGCUGGUAUGAUAACUACCUAGUUGAUUUUUUUUUGGAAAAUUUUUCAAUGUAUCUCUUGCUUGAUCACCUCUUCAUAAUGGCACUAUAGUCUUAUGGGUUUUUCUUUUAUGGUGAUCAAUGACAUAAUUUAUUUUGUUUUUUCCACUUAUCAAUGAAGGGGCAUGCCAAGAUAAGCUUUCUUUGCUUAAAUGCAUAGGGAGAUUGGCUUAGUGGUUGCAUUCGACAAUGCAUUUUGCUAAAAGCCCUUUGCUCUGUUUGUGCUUUACAUAAUAGUUUUUUUUUUUGUAAUUUUGAAAAAAUGUUUUUUCUUUUGGGAGAGGGAAGAAAGCCAAAACCUUUUCCUUUACUGUGAAGUGGAAUUGAAUUUGUGGGCUAGACUGCAAAGAACUUGAGAUCAUAUGGGUCAUCUUGAAUUCAUCUUUAAUAUUACUUUUAGAUAAUAGUUGUCUUUGGUAAAGGGAAGUACGCUAAAACCUUAUGAAGAUGUGUUGUUCAGCCCUUUUGUUGUUAUUAAGUUUGGGCAAGUAAUUUUGUCUUAGUUAGAAUGAAGAAAAAAUUAUGGGUAGCUUAUGGGAGGGAGUUUGUAUUUGCUCUUUUGACUCUUGUUUCAAAGAAUUGUCAGGAUUUGUCUUAUUUCUUUAUUGAUCUAAAAUGUUUAGGGGUUUAAGGAUUGUUUGAUGUAGAUAGAUAUCUUUCGGAUUAGAAUAGAUGAUUAAACUUGAUUUUUCAUAUAUCGGUUUUGUGGAUAUAUUUUGUUGAGAUUCGGUUCCCAUUUUUUGGGUUUUACUUGGACAUUUGAUCCACAAUGUAUCUCCUUUCUGUUUCUGUUUUGCUAUGAUUUUUUUUUUUUUAUCAAAAAUCUAUAUUUUAUUCGCUCCAAACAAAAAGAGAAGUUUUUUGUCUGAAGCAAUUGAAUAACUGGUUUGAGCCAUUUUUGGGUGCUAGUUGGUUCAAUUGGUUCUCACUGGGUUAACUUUUGAGCUAAAUGAUAGCAGUCCACUCCUGUUAGGAUUACAUGCUAAGACUAGUUUAGGGUUGGAACAAAUUUUUUAGGCUUUACUUGUGCUAAAUAAUAUCUUUGCUGAUCUGUAGGUCACACUUCUUUGUCACACUUACGAAAAUGCAACUGAAAGUGCAUCAGCAGCAACAAUUGGCAUUAUUAAGGUUUUGACGUGAACUUAAUUAUGUUUUAUCCAGUCUUUGUCAUAAUCCUAAAGCAGGUCAAGGUUAUUCCUUUCUCUGAUUAAUAUAAUCUUUGCAGUCUUUGAUUGGGCAUUUUGAUUUGGACCCAAACCGUGUUUUUGACAUUGUAAGUCUUAGUUUUUGGUUUUUUUUUUUUCUUUGCCUAAACAGUUGAACUAUAUUAAUCUUUCUAUUUGUUGUACUUGGAAUAUAAUAUAAUGGAUUUUCCUUUGAACUGUCAGGUUUUGGAGUGUUAUGAACUUCAGCCCAACAACAAAGUCUUUCUAGAACUGAUUCCCAUCUUUCCGAAGGUUUAUUUAUCUACUAGUUUUAUUUUAUUAGUACUUUUAGGUUCUUUCUGAAUUUACAGAAACCCUUGGUUUGCUAAUGAUGUUAUAAUAUUUUGCAGUCUCAUGCUUCGCAUAUUCUGGGAUUUAAGUUUCAAUAUUAUCAGCGUAUGGAAGUAAACAGCCCUGUACCCUUUAGUUUGUAUAAGCUUACAGCUUUGCUGGUGAAAGAAGAGUUCAUUGAUCUUGAUAGCAUGUAAGUAGUUUGUGCAGAUUUGUAGUUUUAAAUUUAGUGAUCUACUGAUCUUAUAGCUGUAAUAAUUCAAGUAGAUGUAUAUGCCAUCUAAUUACAAUUUGUCAUGGUUUUCUUACUCUAAUCUUUCUGUAGGCUGCACUUUGGUGGUAUUUGAGCAAAGUGAUCCAAAUUUCUUUUAAAACUAUGAAAAAGACAAAUGGAAUCAAUUUUAUUCCUUUUCUUUACUAUGCUUACUGUGAAUUGAUAGGACAAGAAAAAUGCUUCUGAUUUUAGAAGACCAAUUUUCUAUUUUAGUAAGUCUGAGGUUACAUUGGUUUUGCAACGGCCGAGGAUGAUAACUGGUUUUGUUGCUCUAAAUGUUAUCUUACUCUAUAAAGAAAAGCAAGAAAUAGGAGCAAGGAGCUCCAGAACGUAUCAGUGUGCAUACUAAUAUGAUGUUAUGGGCUUUAAUUGGAAUUAUUUUGUUUAAAUGUUGAUAGCUUAAAUAUUUCUUUUGGCUGAUCUGAGAUGUUUGGUGGAAGCUUGGUCUUGAUUUUUGUUUGUCUCCCUAUCCAUGCUUUUUCAGUAUGUUUAUGAGGUUUGAUAAUUGAUUCCUCUGUUAGAUUUUGAUAAAUAGUUUUACUUGCUUGCAGAUAUACGCAUUUACUCCCUAAAGAUGAUGAGGCAUUUGAGCAUUACAAUGCCUUCUCAGCCAAGCGGCUUGAUGAGGUAUAUAUUACAAUUGUAUGCUGAUGGCAGUUUAGUUAGUUAUGUUAUCUCUUGUCAGCUGAAAACUAUUCUAUGUUGGUGUUGGAACCAUUUGCACAAGUGAAUUUGUAGGGCUGCUUGUGUGCAUACAAUGUUUGAUGUUCCAUUUUUUUCCCCCUAUGUUAUGUGUUUUCCGCUUAGUUUUUAUUGUUCUGGGCACUUUGAUGAACAUGGAUAGCAUUAUGGCAGAAACUUGACUAGUUUCUUUUAUUGAUUUAUUUGAUGUAUCUCACUUGAUCCAGAUUGUGCUUUUAGUGGAUUCUGUUUUUAUUAAUAUAUAGACUUUCUGCAGGCUAACAAAAUUGGCAAAAUAAAUCUUGCUGCUACUGGGAAGGAUUUGAUGGAGGAUGAAAAACAAGGAGAUGUCACCAUUGAUUUAUUUGCAGCCUUAGACUUGGAAAAUGAAGCAGUGGCUGAAAGGUCUCCAGAACUUGAAAAUAGUCAAACUUUGGGCUUGCUUACUGGUUUUCUUUCAGUAGAUGACUGGUAGGUUUUAUUUUACCAUUAAUUUCUGUUUCUGGGGCUGUUGAUAAGUUUAAUGCCUUGUUGUUUUCCUUGUAUGUUCAUUGUGUGAAAAUUUCACCAUUGAUUUAAAUUUUAUUUUUGAUUCCAUUGGUUCUUCAAGAGUUGCAUUGAGCAUCCUAUUAUUAUAUUAAGAUUUUAAGUAUGUUGCUGUGAGACUGCCUGUUCUUGAGCGAGACCAUUUCCUUUUUCAUGGGGUUCCUACAGAAUGCCCUCCUGCCUACCUCUCCUCUGAAAUUUAGUGUUCUGUUACACCCUCAUGUACUUCAGAUAUAUUUAGUUGUGAAUCUGUGAAUGUAUGGUGGUAAAUUAGGUUUAUUAACUUGAUGGCUGUGGUUAUCAUUUGAGCAUACAAUAGAUAUCUGAUGUUUGUGUUUUUUUUUUUUUUUUUUAAAUCAUGGACAUGGUACAACUAUUUUGAGGAAUUAACAUGUUGAACGGAAUUUGAUUUGUAUGAUUUUUUCUCAUGCUGUCUUGAAAUUACAUUUAUAUUGUAUUUAUGAAGUGGUUAUUUGAGUAUAAAACAGGUAUCUUAUAUUCUUAUGUGUCUUCUUUUUUUUUAAAAAAAAAAAAAUUAUCAUGGAUGUGGUCCAACUAUUAUGAAAAGUUAGCAUGUUGAACUGGAAUUCAAUUUGUAUGAUUUCUUAUCAUGUUGUCUUGCAAUUACGUUUAUAUUAUUCAUAUUCAUGAUUUUAUGUAUUGUGUAUUAUUCUUUUCACAACUUUUUUGUCAGGUACCAUGCCCAUAUACUGUUUGAACGUCUUGCACCCCUUAAUCCAGUGGCACACAUUCAAAUUUGUGAUGGCUUGCUUAGGUAAGUCUUUCUCUUUAUUUUAAUGUAGUUAAGAUUGCCAGUAUGUUAGUUGAUGUAUUCAUGCAUGCUGAUAUAGUCAUGUUCACAAGGAUACAGAGAAGUAGUUGUGCAUUUUAGCAUUAAUUGUGGAGCAGCCUAAAAGGUUUAAGCAUUCUUCUGCAUAUUAUAUUUCUCUGUUCUCCAAAUAUACUUUGGUAUGGAGAGUUUCGUUUUUUGUUUUGACAAUACUUGUUUUCGUUUCCUUUUUUCAAUGAUAUUUUGUUUUAAAUAUCCAGGCUCAUUGAAAAUUCAAUCUCGUCAGCAUAUGAUAUUGUUCGUCAAACACAUCUUCAGAGCUUUGGAUCUUUCUCAGGAGCUGGUAUCGAUGCAAUGGAUACAGCAGAUUUGACAGUCCACAGGUCUUUUAUAGAUCUUCCCAAAGAGCUUUUUGAGAUGUUGGCUACCUUGGGACCUUAUCUUUACCGUGAUACUGUAUUGCUGCAGAAGGUGCAUUCUUUUGCUUCUGAUUUGUGAAACAUGCACUCACACAUAAAAGAUGUGACCUUUAUGCUUAUGGUGGUGGGUUGUUUGUUUUUCAUGAGCAGGUAUGUAGAGUAUUAAGAGGUUACUACUUUUCUGCUCUUGAGCUUGUCAAUUGUGGUGAUGGAGCUCCAAAUCCUGAACCUCUUAUGGAUCGAAAUCGAGUUCCUCGUCAGCACCUAAAGGAGGCCAGGUUGAGGGUAGAGGAAGCAUUGGGAGCUUGUCUACUUCCUUCUUUACAAUUGAUACCCGCAAAUCCAGCAGUUGGUCAGGAGAUCUGGGAAGUAAUGAACCUCCUUCCAUAUGAGGUUGGCCUUGCAUCAGUGCUAUUUGAUAUUUUCAUUUGAGAAUUAGACAAUCUUGCUAGAUGAAUCUCAUCUCCUUAGGUGCGAUAUCGCUUAUAUGGUGAAUGGGAAAAAGAUGAUGAAAGGAACCCUAUGGUUUUGGCUGCAAGGCAAACAUCCAAGGUAUGAGAUUAGUGUCUUGUAGAGUUCUUUGUUUUCUGCAAUCUUGAUGCCAUGAGACAAUCUUACAUUCUUUGUUGUUUUCAGUUGGACACAAGAAGGAUUCUGAAACGGCUUGCAAAAGAAAAUUUGAAGCAACUGGGUCGUAUGGUUGCAAAACUAGCCCAUGCAAAUCCCAUGACUGUACUUCGAACAAUUGUACACCAGGUUUCUGUUUACAGCAUAGGACAUUAUUCAUCUUCUCUGGAAAACCUUGAAACUUAUAUCUAAGAGUACAUAAUAUUUUGCAUUUUGGAAUUUUGGAAUGCAGAUUGAAGCGUAUAGGGACAUGAUUACUCCGGUGGUGGAUGCAUUCAAGUAUUUGACACAGGUCUGAACUUUUAGCCACCUGAGGUUAUUUCUUUAGUGGAAUCUUCUUGUUAAUUUUAAACAAGGUCUCUAAUUUGUAACUUCUAAAGAGAACCAGUUGUAGCUUUUCAGAAGCUUCAAGCUUUCCUACCUUUUCCUUUUUUGAAAUUUAUUUUUACUCUUUUGUUUUCUUCUUUUUUCAUCCACACACAUUUUAUGCUGAAUUCCUUUGAAAAUGUUGAUUGUGAUUUUAUAUUCUGUAUGGAAUACUUAGAUACUGGCAAUUUUUGAAUCUAAAUCAAGUUUGUAAUGAUAAAAGGAAAAAAAAGAACAAAAAGGGCCAUUGGAUUUCAAUCCAACAGUCCCAAGUGCAGAUUCCACUCUAGAAAAUGACCUGGAGUACUUUAUUUGUGAUUCUGCAUGUUAAUCUUCUAGCACCUACAGUUGAAUCCUCUUAAUUUCUUGCUUUCCUCUGCAGCUUGAGUAUGAUGUUUUGGAAUAUGUUGUAAUUGAGCGUUUGGCACAAGGUGGGCGUGACAAGCUAAAAGAUGAUGGCCUUAAUUUGUCUGAUUGGCUUCAAUCUUUGGCUUCGUUUUGGGGUCACCUGUAUGUACAGUUUUCUUUGCAAAGCUUUGAAUUAUCUUUCAUAUUUGACUUGAAUAAUUAAGCAUUUGGAACUGUUUCUUGUCUUUCGUUUUAUUAAAUUGUUUGUUAGCGGUUAUAGUCAGCAUCUUGUGAUAAUGAAGAAUUUGGUCUUAAAUUGAUGCCACUGUUGGUAAAGAGGCUUUGAGUGUAAUCCGGCAUUUGGUAUGCAUGAAGUGUCACCUUUUCUAAGCUUUGUGUGCAUAUAUGCCAUCUUCCUUGUUGUUUUCCUUUCAAUUGAUUUCUGCUUAUUAAUGCGGUUAGUAACAGAGUCACUUUGUACAUCAAUUCAUUUUGCAUAGAGUCCAGAAUAUCCUGGGAUGCUUUACUACAGUUUCCGGGUUGAAGAUAAAACUUGGCAAAAGCAAGAUGUCUGGAGCUGGGUUUGUUUUGGACAUUGCAGAUGUGCAAGCUCUGAUCAGUUUGAAUUCUUUGGCUUGCCAAUUGGGCGGUGUUCACAGUUAGUUAUAUGUAAUUGUCUGACAGAGAUGAAAGGUCAUAGGACUGGGAUAGUGAUUUUUCUUGGAGGGGGACACUUGGUCAGGAUCUCAUUAUUCAGACUUCCCUUCAGUUCUUUCUGUCUUCCAUUUUCAAUUUUGGUCUAUAAGAGACUGAAGGGGAGAAAAAGUGAUCCCUAGAUCAUUCAAGUGAGAAUCCUAAGCACAUGGAAAAUGGAAGAUUAUGCCUGAAUUGAAUUAGUUAUUAGCUGUCAAACCGUCCCUUAUGCUUUCUGAUAAAGCAUGAAAGAUUUGGUGUCAUUAAUAGAGAUGGGAAACUAAUGGAAAGAAAGGCAGAGAGAAAGCAUGUGUGCACAAGAACAUAAUUGGACGGUAAUCUGCCUGUUGUUGUUGAGGGAUAUAGUGGAGAGGUAUGAUUUUUGCAGUGUAUGGAUGUAGAAAUGGAGAUUAUGUACGUAUCUUGGUACUAAUUGCUCGGACUGACUGAUGGAGAGAUAUAUGUGUAAUUUCUACUGUUGACUGGAAGCUGUUUGAUGCGAUUCAUAUUCUUAACUCACUAUCUAAAUGAUUAGGAACUGCUGUGUCCUUCCAGUUUUGCCUUGUGAAGAAUCAUAAAUAUAGGUGAGAGGCUGGAAGUAGCAUGCAGUUGGUGUGGGUAUUAGGAAUUGUAGUCAACAUCCUGUCCUGUGGUGGUCCCGAGAGUUGUAUGCUUUUGUCCUCUGAUUUGCUGUCAGAAUGUUCCAGGAGUGGUAUAUUUUUGUUCAAAUCAGAUUUUUAACCCAAAGUGUACCAUUGGUGAUUUCUGUGAAGGAAACUGUCUUGAUGAAAGAUGAAUUCUGCUGUCAGAGUAAAUACCUCUGCUUUUUCUGAUUCUAGCUGCAUUAGCUGGUUUUGGGUUCUUUGACGGUCGGGAAAUCAUGUGGGUCUUCAUGGUUCAAUUCCAUGCGUCGUUGGUGAGCUACUGCCUUUGAUGAAAAGAUAUUUUCUACGGUUCUUCAAUUUAAAUCUGAGGGUUAGACAGAGGAUGCUCUUGCAAAUUAAGGGAUAUUUAUCUUCUGUUGAGGCAACAUCAGAUAUUUGUGGUCAAUGAUGUUUCUAUUGGGGUCCCUCUGUCAAAGCUGUCAAGGGUGUGAGGCUGUUCACUUAUUCAAUAAAGAUGGGUAGUUAUUUUUAAUUGGAGACUUGAAUUUUUUUUUUUAAUUUUUAAUUUUUCCUUGUUUUUCCCUCUAUGGUGAAUUGUCAUGUCAUGUAAGUAGUGGGUCCAUAGUCUUCUGCAUGUAAUGUGUGGAUUGUCAAAGAGAAAGUUGGUGGACAACUUGUUAUUUAGGAAUGGACUACCUGCAUAGGCUAGUGAGCUCACUCCCUUUGCCUACAGUAUAGAGGACCCUGUUCACAAAGUUGGAUGUAUGAAUACUGUUUGAACUUCUAUAGGUAUGUUCAUAUUUAUCUUUGUUUUAAUCCUAGUUCUUGACUGUCUUUGGUAUCCAUUGAUAUGUAGUAGUCCCAUGAUGUGACCAUGUUAACUGAGACUCGCUGCAUCUUGAUGUUACUGAGUACUAAAUUUUGGAUGUUUAUGUUGAUUGCCAGCAUACAGGUGGGUUUUCCUCUGGUAUUGCACAAAUAUUAAAAUGUUAUUGUCAUGGUAUACAUGUAAAGAAUCCUUUGAAAGCCUGUGAAAAUAACAUAAUUCUGGCAGUGGAGAAUUAAUUAAUGUUUAUUGCUGAAUUUGAUGCUUGGAACAGUUUUGGCAAUCUCUUUUUUUAAAAAGAAAAGAUUAUGGUCUUGAAUCUAUGUAUAUGUCUUCGAGGUGGAUCUCCUUAGCAUAACUGUAAUAAUUCUAAUUCACAGAACACUAACAUUUAACCUGGAUAUUAUGUGAAUACAACUUGGAAAAAGAUACAGGAGAGCAUGCUUAAUAGUCGAUUGGUAGACUAUUCAGAAUGAACACCCCCCCCCCCCCCCCCCCCCCCCCCCAAAAAAAAAAAAAAUUGGGGGCGGGGGGGGGCACCACUUUUUUUUUUUUAAUUUUCAUUGAAAGUUGCUGUGCCUUACGAUGAGUUUAGCCUAGUAGACUGCUGGUCCACUUUUUUCUGGAAUUCAUUUUUUGCAUCAAUAAAAUUGUGUUGUUUCUAACCAGAAAAAGAAAACAAAAACUGCAUUAGCGGUUAAGUUUUUCCUUCUUGCAAAGAAGUUAAAGCUAAGUAUAACUCAGAUUAAGUUCUUCUGCCUUCUGUUUGUGCAAAUCUCCCCCCUGCUUUUUGUGUAUGUUUGUGCAGCCUUAGCUCCAGCCCUUACCAAAUGUGAACCAAAUUCUUUCCCAAUCACAGUGUGAAUAGAUUGAAUCUCUGGACCUCUUGUACACUUGGAGAAACCUAACUAAUCAAACUAAGUGGUGCAUGUGCUAUCUAUCCAAGCUUGGAUACUGAAGGCUGCAACUACUAAAAUAAGGUAAUGGAAGAUCAAAAAAUAACAAGCAAGACGAAAAGCGGAUCAAAAGGAGCCAGUCAUCUGCUGUCAUUAACAUUUCACACCAAGUAGUUUUGCAUUUCAUCGCCAUAUUUGGUGUUUCCUACUCUGAUUUAGAAUAAUCUGUCUCUGGGUUAGUUGUCUAUUAUAAAAGGCUCAUUUCUCAAGCUUUGUAGGCAGGACUGCUAGUGUUUAUAGUGCCUGAGUUCUUUGGCUUUCUUGUAUAAUGGUGGUAACAGCAGAUGACAACAAAUAUUGUUUCUUUAUGCCUAAGUUCUUCUCAGCUUCUUUGCACUAUAUUUGAAAAUAGUUUCAUGAAGAAAAUCAAAGCCAAGUCCUGCUCCCUAUCGAUCACCAGCUGUAAAUAGGGUGCACACCAUGACCCAGUCAUCUUAUUGUCCCAUGAAAAUGCUUUUCUGGAUCGUUGCAAUCAUUUUACAGAUAUUAAAGCCUGAGAAAUAAUAGUGCCUGCCUUCAUUGAAUAUUAUUUGGUUGCAGCAUUAGGUCUGGACAUAACAACCCUACAAAAUAUUAAUGCCAAUGAAUUUUCCCUUUUUAGGUUUCCUAUCUUUUUUCUUCAGCUUGCCUGCACUUUAUCUGGCAAUAGUUUCUUACUGAACCUAGAAGCUCCCUGUUGUUCACAGUUGUGCAACCACGUUGCAUGUGGUACACAUUGUGGAAUCUUCCUCUUUUUUGAUAGGAAACUAGUAUUAAUAAGAACAAUAAUUACAAAAUGUGAACAAGAAAUCCACAAAGAAAGAAACACUCCCAAGGAUUAUAACCGCCACCUUCAGAUGCUCAAACAACUGUCUGGGCAUUGAUGGAAAAUUAUGACUUCUCAGUCCUUGCUUGAACCUUAAAAAUGGUGAUUUUAUGUGGAAGUAAUGGUGACAUUGAAUUUUUUGCUUCAUGUCUUUUAACAGUUUUUGGACUUCCUGUGCUGCAAAUGAGAAUAGCUUCAUAUAGAAAUUUGAAGCCAACUCCUUGUAGUUGAUGAUUAUGCUAUUAAUGAGUCUGCAUGUGGAACGGUCAUGUUUCCCAUGUUUUUUCAUGAAAGAUUGCAGGGUAUAUGUUGUUAUGGUGAUAAGACAAAAAUUUCAUACUCCUUUUUCAUUUUUACAUUUAUUCAAACUUAUUGAAGAUCUUCUCUCUCUCUCUCUCUCUCUCUCUCUUCAAACAUGAAUUUGAAAUUUGCAUUUGUUUUAUGGGAUUUCUUGAAAUUUUACUAAGUUCAAUUUCCAUAUCACAGGUGCAAGAAGUACCCAUCAAUGGAAUUAAGGGGUCUUUUCCAGUAUCUGGUGAACCAGUUAAAAAGGGGGAAGGGGAUUGAGCUAGUUCUCCUACAGGUGUUAUCUACUUUUAAUGGUUCUCCACUUUGGUACAUGCUUAUGCCCAACGAUUAACAGUUACAUUUUGGGGUUUUAUGAUUAAAUCAGGAACUUAUUCAACAAAUGGCGAAUGUCCAAUACACUGAGAACCUGACGGAGGACCAGUUGGAUGCCAUGGCAGGAAGUGAGACACUCCGGUAUCAGGCUACAUCAUUUGGAGUAACCAGGAAUAACAAGGUUUAUGGAACUCUUUGAUCUUUCCAGCAAUUUCUGGGGAAAUAAAUUCAUCAUUAUAUUUAUAUUGCUUGACUGUGGCAUCAUCUGAGUGUUAGAUGACAAUUUAAUUAUGUUGGGGUUAAAACUUUCCGGUCUCUUAAUUGGAUCUCAAGUAGUUUACAUUGUAAAAGUAAGGAACAUUUAUAAGUUUAAACUGGAGUGCUAAAUCUUUCUGCACAACUCUGCUCAAUUUAGCUGCCAUGUGCACAAAUUUGGGAUCUGAAAUAAACAUAUUGUUGCUGUUCAUCAAACUCUGAGAGAGAGAGAGAGAGAGAUCCUAUUGGAGUUCAUCAAACUAACUUUGAAGACUUUUUAACUGGAAUUUUUUCUUUAACUUCUUUCUGUGCAGGCUCUGAUCAAAUCCACCAAUAGGUUAAAAGACUCAUUGCUUCCAAGGGAUGAACCAAAGUUGGCAAUUCCCCUUUUGUUGCUUAUAGCUCAGCAUCGUUCUGUGUAAGCUAUUCAACUUUAAUCUUUGUACAACCACUUGAAUUUGGCGGCACUCUUUCCUAACAAGGAGAUUCAAUCUUCUGGUGAAGUAUUUGUGAAACCAAUUUUAUCAAGAAAACGUGUUGUUUCUUAAUGCCAUCCUUAUGUAUCUAUUGGUUUUCCUGGGUUGUUGAAUUUUGUUUUUCAUUUUCAAGUAUCAGUUCAGACAUUCUUCUAAGACUCGGACACACUCUUACAUAUGUAUACACAUAUAAAUGCAUGAAAAAUAAAUAUAGAUUUAUUUAUUUAUGCAUAUAUAUAUAUAUAUAUAUAUAUCUGUCUGCUCAACUUGUACUAUUUUCAUGCAUUUACUUAUGUGCUUGUCUAACGACUUAGGCAAUAUGGUUUGGAGAUGAAAGGGCCUGUGGGAUUGAACUAUACUAUUACACAUAAGAUUGUUAAGAAAGAAUGUGAAAGAAGUUGUGUGUGAAUUUGAGUAAAUGUGAGCAUAUUGUUAAAUUCUUCAAUCUAAAAGCUUAAGAUAUCAAUUGAAGGUCUCCACCACAUGACAAGCAGCCAUUAUCUAAUACAAUUGAGUAACACGGAUUUAGUUAUGUGUCCACAUCAAUCGGAAACUAAUGAAGAUCGGGUAACUGAACAUGUGAACAGAAAUUGAACUUUGGUUUCAUUGCAUAUGAAGCAAACCCAGCCAGCCAAAGGCUUUAGUUGUUCAGUGUGCAAGUAAGCUUCAUAUAAAAUGGCCUUGUCGAACAUUAUAUUUAACCUUGUUCAUACUAAAUUAUAGUACUCUUUUGGCUGGCUUAUUCGAUCUAGAUUAUUCUUGUUUUCUCAGCCUUUUUUUUUCUUGGCUACAGACACUAUAUUUACUAUAUUUUGCUGAAGUCAUUCAAAGGAGUAGAACUGUUGACUGUAUUAUUGCCAUGCAAUUUCCUGCAAUUGUUUAUAAAAUAGCUAGUCAGUCAAAUUCUUGUUUAUAUGUGUAUAUAUAUAUAUACGCGCGCGUGCACGUAUUGUGAUUUCCUUUUUCCGUUUUGACUGGACCCUUGAUAGUCUUAAGCUUUUCUUGGCUGGGUUUUUGUUCUGUAUGAUAACUAAGUUUAUUUUAUCUGCCCCCUGUUCAUAAUUAUGCAAAAGUUGUUUAAAAAUUGGAGAGUUGUUGGAAACUCCUCUGAUUGUAUUAUUUCCUGCAGGGUUGUUAUAAAUGCAGAUGCACCUUACAUAAAAAUGGUUUGUGAGGAGUUUGAUAGAUGCCAUGGAACUCUUCUUCAGUACGUGGAAUUCCUUUGUAGUGCUGUAACUCCAGCUACUGCUUAUGCUCAACUGAUUCCAUCUCUUAAUGAUCUUGUCCACCAGUACCACCUGGAUCCUGAGGUUUGCCUUUAAUAACUCUGUGAUUCUCCUCUAUAUUGUCAAGAUGGUUUUACUACUGACAGCUGAUGGGCUUUAUCUAUUAUUCAUCUUGCUGUUAUGGUAUAAUAACUUAUUCAAUGUUUAUUAUUUUCUUGACUUAGGUAGCCUUUUUGAUAUUUCGCCCUGUAAUGAGGCUCUUUAAGUGUCAGGGGAGUUCUGCUGUUUUCUGGCCUUUAGAUGACGGUGAUGCUGCAAAUAACACAACUAUAAAUUCAGAGUCUGAACCUUCAGAAGAUAUUGGCAAUGUGAUUCUGGAUCUUGGGUCUCAGAAGCCUGUAAUGUAAUAAUCUUUAACCUUGAUCUUAUUUGAUCACUAUCUUUGAUAUCAAUUGAUAUCUGUUAGUUGAUUGCCUUCUGUUCAUUAGUUAGAAUCUAAAUCUUUUGAUUUCUUAUAUCUCUGUUUGGAAAGGAGAAGAAAGGGUGGAGAACUAUAGAUCAUUAUGCACACAUAUCAUAUGCUUUGCCAGACCCUUUUAUCUAUUUAUUCCUGAAGUCUCUUUCUUGUUACUUUUCACUGGUAAUAAACCUAUAUGAAUAUAUGCAGGUGGUCAGAUCUCCUUGACACUGUUAAAACUAUGUUGCCCUCAAAAGCCUGGAACAGCCUCUCCCCCGAUCUCUAUACGACUUUCUGGGGGCUCACACUCUAUGAUCUAUAUGUUCCCAGAGACCGAUAUGAAUCUGAAAUCGCCAAACAGCAUGCCGCACUUAAAGCUCUGGAAGAGCUUUCAGACAAUUCGAGUUCAGCAAUUACUAAAAGGAAAAAAGACAAGGAAAGAAUUCAAGAGUCUUUAGAUCGUCUGACUAAUGAACUUCAUAAGCAUGAAGAAAAUGUUGCAUCAGUUCGUCGGCGACUUUCUCGUGAAAAGGACAGAUGGUUGAGUUCCUGCCCUGAUACUCUGAAGAUCAAUAUGGAGUUCCUUCAGCGUUGCAUUUUUCCUCGCUGCACUUUCAGCAUGCCAGAUGCUGUCUAUUGUGCCAUGUUUGUUCAUACUCUUCAUUCCCUUGGCACACCAUUUUUCAACACAGUAAACCACAUUGAUGUUCUGAUUUGUAAAACCUUACAACCUAUGAUAUGCUGCUGCACUGAAUAUGAAGCAGGCAGACUAGGGAAGUUUUUGUUUGAGACAUUAAAGAUUGCUUACCAUUGGAAGGUAAAUGACAAUUUGAAUUUUUCCUCUCUGUUGAUUAAACAUUUCCAAUGGUUUUGACAUUUCCAUAACAUUUCUUGGAUGUGACCAAUGCUCUGUCUGCAGAGUGAUGAAUCUAUAUAUGAACGUGAAUGUGGAAACAUGCCUGGGUUUGCUGUAUAUUAUAGAUAUCCCAACAGCCAACGAGUCACAUAUGGCCAGUUCAUUAAGGUGAAUCUAUGGACUGCAAUUAUUUUAAAACUUCCCUCUCGCUUAUUUGACUUGCAUCCAUAUAUAUAAAACUACUUGUUAGGAACAGCAUGUCAUCUACAUUCAUUUUGAUAUUUCUCAAAGGCUUUAUCUUUCUGUCCUUGUCUGCUUAUUCAUCUGUGUAGGUGCAUUAUGCGUGAUUUCAAUUGUAGGUGCAAAAAUAUUUGCUAGGCAUACCUGACUAAGCUGACUGGUAUGUGUAUUUGGAUGAGGAAUUAAGUUAAACUGAAUUACAUUUUUUUCAAUUGGUGAUGAGGUUGUCAUAUGUUACGAGCUUUUAAUUUCAAAACCCUGUGGAAAGAUAUUUUUUGGGCUGGCCUUUCCUGAAUAAUCUGAAUAAUUAUAAUAAAAAUGUGAUGCAAUGAUGGUAGGAACAUCCACUUUUGCCAAUACAUAGGAAUUCUUUGGAAGUCUUUUUCUUUAAGUCUUUACUUUUUUCCAGAGCACAUAAGUCUUAAAGGCAUCUCCAUGACUUGUCCUUGCCAAAGCUUCAUUUACGAUUAGCCUACGUCUUGGAUCCCUUAAUGUUGAUUGAAUGAUUUAAUGUUAUGCAACUACCACACUUGGCUUGCAUUUACCCUCAGGCAUGUUGGCCCAUUUACAUUUAAGAUCCAGGAAGCAACUUUAAAGGAUGCCUUAAUUUUCUGACGAGAUUUCUGAGGAAUUUAUUUGUUUUUUUCUUCAGUGUCCUCUAAAGAACUUUUAGACUUCCUGCUUGUCUUGUGCUUUUUCUCAUGACUUAUGCAGAGAGUCAUCCACUUUCAUCCCUAUUUGUUGUGCAAAAUGAUUAUGAAAUACAAGUUUUGGAAAAAAGAAAUUAUAUGCCAUAGAUGGUGCAAAGAGAGAACUUGUUUUAGCAUCUCCAUUGUCGAAAUCAAUAUAUUUAGAGGGAGGGGGAAAAAAACAAGAUUUUAAAGCAAAUUCCAAUCUCUGUUUGUCACUUUGGUGUAGAAAAUGAUUCUGAGAUAUAAUUUUGAAAAAUUCUUAUUCACCACAGACGGUGCAAAGAAAGCACUUUCUUAGCAUCUCCAUUGUUGAAAUAAAUAUGGAGGAAAAAAAAAUUCAAGAUUUUUGUUUAGUAAAUUCCAAUCACGUAAUCACGUGUUUGUGUGCGUGCAUGUGUGUGUAUCUGUGUGUGCAAGGUACAUUUGGUUUCCAAGGCCAUUACAUGUUUCAUUGAGUAAGGUUGCUGAUCUUAUUGGGACAUAAUUAGUUUAGUAAUUAAUGAUUGGCUGAUGCUGCCUCUUUGCACCAUUUUUGCUCGGAAUGAUUUGUCAUUUUCCGCACUGUCUUAACAAUGUUACUUAGUUUGCAUUUUUGUUGAUAGGUUCACUGGAAAUGGAGCCAAAGAAUCACGCGUUUAUUGAUUCAGUGCUUGGAAUCAGCUGAGUAUAUGGAAAUUAGGAAUGCUCUUAUAUUGUUGACAAAAAUAUCUGGUGUCUUCCCAGUUACUCGAAAGAGUGGGAUCAAUCUUGAAAAGCGGGUAGGAGACUGACCAUCAGUGAUUGUUAGCUGUUUCCCUCUCAUUUUUAAAUUUAAUUGUCAUAAGUUAUGCAUUUCCUAUUCUCUCUGUUCUACAGGUAGCUAAAAUAAAAAAUGAUGAGAGGGAGGAUCUCAAGGUUUUGGCAACUGGUGUUGCUGCUGCUUUGGCUAAUAGAAAAGUAUGCUGCAACUUAAAUUUUCUGGAAGAUUGUUCAUAAUUAAACUUCUAUUAACUUUUGCUUAUUGUUUGCAGUCUUUCUGGGUUACUGAUGAAGAAUUUGGCAUGGGAUAUCUUGAACUGAAACCAGCUCCAUCACUUGCUUCGAAGUCUUUGUCUGGUAAUGUAGUAGCGGUGCAAGGUUCUGCUAUUAAUGUUUCUCAAAGUGAACCUGGCACGGGGAAUUCAGUAAAAGACCAUAUUUCAAGAGCAAAACCUGGUGAUGGGAGGUUGGAAAGAACAGAAAGCAUCUCACAUGUAAAAAGUGAUAACGUAAAAUUGAAAGGCAGUUCAUUGACUAACGGUUCUGAUAUUCAUUCAUCCAUGCCCUCGACUGCUGUGCAAGCAGAAAUGUCAAGAGUGGUGGAAAAUCAAAAACAGGUGGAUGAAGAUGAAAACAUGGCCAAAGUAGCUAUGAAGAACUCAGCAGAGUCUGAGGUAUUAUCUGAACCUCACAGCUGCAUGUGCUUGACUUGUUUUUAAUAGGUUUUCUAUGAUUUAGUAGCAUUAACGACUCAAAAACAUUGAAUCAAAGAGAUUUUAGCUUACAUUCUUCCAGAAAAUGGAUGUAUGAUCAUGUUCAGGCCUCAAAAGUAUACGUAUGCAGCGUGAUUAUAUGACUUCUAUGGAAAAGCUCAUGUGUUGAAUUAGAUACCUAAUAGUCCAUUCCUUCUGCCGCUUGCUCCCUCAAUAAGAAGGAAAGGGUGAUUUCAUUUGUUGAAUGGAUGCAGUGAAUGAUCCUUCUGCCUCCUAAAAUCCUAAUGUUUAACCCCCCCAACCCAAAAAAAAAAAAAAAAAUUCUUCUUGGUGUUAUAUUUCUGUAUAGAAUACCUAGCAACUCAAAAUUCGCAUUGCUCAUCAAAUGGUUAAAGAGGUUGAAUUUCUAACUUGACCAUUAUACAUGGACUAUUUUACGUUCCUUUUGAAUGGUUCAGUGCAAGUGCAAGAAGAAAAUAAGAACAAGAAUUUUAUAGACUAGAUCAUAUAUAUUCUUAAGUGUUAAAGAAGAUUUAGUCUACAGUGAAAAGGAAUUUAUGCAAUGUUUGAAGUACCUUCUUUUGAGCAUUAUAGACCUUCAAUGAUGUGGUUCUCUACCCUAUAUAUCUGAUUACUUUUUUUUUUUUUUUUCAAACACGCUUUCUGAAUACCUUUUUUUUUCCCCCUUCUGUCUCCUCUCCUCUGUGUUAAAUGUUUACAGUCAAAAGCUUCAGUGAAACGGUCAGUGCCAAGUGCAUCACUUACAAAGGCACCAAAACAGGAUCUUGCCAAGGAUGAUAAUAAAUCAGCAAAAGCUGUUGGCAGAACUUCAGGCUCUUCCGCCAACGACAGAGAUUUCUCUUCUCAUGCAGCAGAGGGGAAGCAAGGUGGAGCAACCACUGUUUCUUCUGCAGCUGCUGUCACCGCUAAUUUGGUUUCGGCUAAAGGCUCAUCUUCAUCUUCAAGAGCAUCAGAUAUGCAUGGUAAUGAAUCUAAGACUGACGGUGGAGUUGCCAAGUCUUCUGAAGUAAGGCUUUCCACUGGUAAAAGUGAUGGCAACGAGGUUUCUGAUGCACCAAAGUCCUCUUCAUCCCGAACCAUGCAUUCUCCAAGGCAUGAUAGCUCUGUUGCUGCUUCCAAGUCUGGUGAUAGGCUUCAAAAAAGAACUAGUCCCUCUGAAGAUCCUGACAGACCAAGUAAACGUUACAAAGGGGAUACUGAAUUAAGAGAUUCUGAUGGUGAAGUUCGAGUACCUGACAGAGAGAGGUCGGCAGAUCCUCGAUUUGCAGAUCUUGACAAAAUUGGAACAGAUGAACAGAGUAUGUAUAGGACCACGGAUAGGUCAAAAGACAAGGGCAAUGAAAGAUAUGAAAGGGACCACAGGGAAAGAUUGGACCGUCUUGAUAAGUCCCGCGUGGAUGAUAUCAUACCUGAAAAACAAAGGGAUAGGUCAAUGGAAAGGUAUGGGAGAGAGCGUUCAGUUGAGAGAGGACAAGAGAGGGGUGCUGAUAGAGCAUUUGAUAGGCUUGCUGAAAAAGCUAAAGAUGAUAGAAACAAGGAUGACCGAAGUAAAUUACGUUACAAUGAUUCAUCUUCAGAAAAAUCUCACGUUGAUGAACGGUUUCAUGGGCAAAGCUUGCCUCCACCACCUCCCCUACCUCCUCACAUUGUUCCCCAAUCUGUGAAUGCUGGUAGAAGAGAUGAAGAUGCCGAUAAGAGGUUUGGAAGCACCCGACAUUCUCAAAGGCUUUCUCCAAGACAUGAUGAAAAGGAACGGAGACGAUCUGAAGAAAAUUCCUUAGUUUCGCAGGAUGAUGCAAAACGUAGAAGGGAAGAUGAUUUUCGAGAUAGAAAGAGAGAAGACCGAGAGGGUUUGUCACUGAAGGUAUGCAUAUGCAUUGAAGCUUAUUGAUUUCAUUUUCAUUCUACAAAUAUGUAUUUUCGUGGUAAAACUUGGAGGAAUGUCCUUGUUUGAUGCUUUCAUAUGCAACUCUAUUUGGUGGUGUUGCAUAGCUUAAGAUUUAGAACCUGAAUGUGUCUUGUUUUUGUGUUUCAAAACCAAAAUGUUUUUGUAUAUCCAGGUCCUGAAGUGAUUAUAAUAUUAAUUGGAUAUUGACCAGAUAAACUUUAUCAUGGAGCCUAUUUUGGAAAAUUUCUUAUUCAAUGAUUGUUUUUGUUCAGUAGUUGUGGGAGGACUUCUCUAUAAAUUGUCACUUUUAAAUUGGAGUCAUGUACCUGACCCUUUUGUUUUGAUCAGAUUUGAGUCAAUUUCCUUGUAAUAUGUAGUCUACUUGUAUCUGAUCCGUGGACCAUGCCCCCUUAACAUGUUUACUGUUAUCACCAGCAGUAUUUACUAGUUUUCUUAAUUAGUUUGUUAAAAAUUUCCAAUGCACUGGGUAAACUAUAUAAAAAAGUUUCCAUGUUGAGGUUAUUUAAUUGGGCUAGGUCCUUCAUAUCAAAUACUUGCAUGGUAAACUUGGUUCUGAUUGCAUCAGAUUAGGAACCUAGACAAUAUAAUUAUUAUCACAAGAAGCGAGUAAUUAUCGAGAUAAACAACCAGUCUUCAGUCUUUCGAUAUUGUUGUGUAUAGAAAUGUUAGCAAAUUGCUUCUUGUUCGUUGAGUUGUAUCAUAUGUGGGAUAUUUCAGUCUAAGGCAAUAUUACAUGCCUGGCAAUAAAUAUUUAUGCUGUUAUAACCCCAAUUAUUUUGCCAAGUGAAAUUGCCUGUUAGUUUACUGUAAGAAUCAAGUCUUUAGAAUGCUGAAGCAUCUGCAGGAAUGAACUAGUCUAUGAACCCCAAUUGAAUGGGUUAUCUGGUGUAUUCUUUGAUUGGCUUGGCUAUAUUUCAUUCUAAAAACUAUUUUUGAAUAUGCUGUGCUAUGAAAAGCAUAAUCACUGAUGCUGCAUUGAUGUGCGCGUCAUUUUCUAUUUUGGUUUCUGCAUUAUUCUCAUCUUAUGUCCAAGGAUACAGGUUUUUUUUCCCUUAAAUUCUUGAUUUGCUGGUUUAUGUAGAUGGAUGAAAGGGAGAGAGAGAGGGACAGGGACAGGGACAGGGAGAAAGCCAACCUUUUGAAGGAGGAAAUGGAUGCCAAUGCUGCUGCCUCUAAGAGAAGAAAACUUAAAAGGGAGCAUCUUCCAUCAGGGGAAGCUGGUGAGUAUUCACCUGUUGCCCCUCCCUAUCCUCCCCUUGCUAUUGGUAUUUCACAGUCAUAUGAUGGAAGAGAUAGGGGAGACCGGAAGGGAGCCGCAAUGCAGCGCACAGGUUACAUGGAGGAGCAAAGUAUGAGGAUUCAUGGUAAAGAAGUAGCCACCAAGAUGGCCCGUCGUGAUUCAGAGCUGUAUCCUUAAAUUAUUAUCUGCUCCUUGGAUGCAACAUGCAUGUCAUUUAAAUAUACUAUUACCUCAUAUAUUCAUUUUUCUCCCCCCUUUUUCCAUUUCAGAAUCUCCCAUUUUAAGAAUUGCUUAGAAUCAAUUGGUCUGCUGCUCCUUGGAUGCAACAUGCAUGUCAUUUAAAUGUACUAUUAUCUCAUACAUUCAUUCUUUUUUUCCUAUUUCAGAUUCUUCCUUUUUAAGAAUUGCUUAGAAUCAGUUGGUUUGCUGCAUUUUUGCUUGUGCACUUGCUGCAUGGAGGAGGCACUUGCCUUCUUGUUUAAAGCAAAGAUUGUUUCUGCCUGUUCAUACCAUGCUUUAUGCAAUAUGGUCUGAUUGGCUCAUCCUCAAUUGAAUGUGAGCAAUUCCAAUUCAUAUUCAGAUAAUUAUCGAUGAGAAUUUUUUAGCUUAUUUAGCAUUUGAAAUGCACUUUGGCCUUACUUUCAACUUUCAAGCAAUGUUGUUCUAGAACUGGCCAGUCCUUAACCAAGAUCUAGAAUCUAUGAGCGCGAGUGGGAAGAUGAGAAGCGGCAAAGAGCUGAACAGAAGAGAAGACAUCGGAAGUAGUGUUGGAUGGAAUGAGAUUGCGUAACCUGCUUGUUUCUGCCUUUUGCCAUAAGGCUUUGGCUGUACAUUUCUUUUUCAUCCCUUGCCAGGUUGUUAGCUAUGUAUACAGAAAUGAGUAUGCAUGAACUGGGAUUACCUUUUUUUAGCCCCAUUUCCUGGUUACUCUUCGCAGCCAAUCUGUUGCCUGGCUUUUUGAUUUGCUUUCAAGUAGAUUGCAAAGCCUAAAAUGAAAAUGAAACUGAUCACAACGCCCUGUAUGAAUAUUGUAAAUUCAGCUCGUUCUCAAUCAGGUGCUUAUUUUAAAUGCUCUCUGAUAACAAAGUGAUAGAUUAAAAUCACCCAAAAUCAAAUCCAACAAUUGCUUGUACGAGCUAGCAGGUUUUAGUCCUAACAGGAUAUAAAUUAAUUUUAUUUGGAGAUGAGAGAAAUUUGACUUUCUGCUGCUUCUAUCAAUUUCUAAAUAAUUAUUCUAUUAGGUGAAUAAACAGAAUACUUAAUAGUUUAUAGAGACGUUGAGUAAGAACUGAUUCUCAGUUUAUAUAUAUAUUAGGAAAUUGAAAGCAUAAAUGUUCUGCUAAACUGAUCAGCCUUAUCACAAUCACCAUCUAAACUGUAGUUCGAGUUCCCAGUUUCUUUUGCUGCAUAGCACUCCCAGCGGACGUGUAGGAUUACUCCCAUGCAAUUCAUGAUGAUGGAUGGUUGUGCGUGUAAGUGUACCAAGGCUGAUAGAAAGGGUUGACAGCUUGUGGGUUAUGCAAUUGCAUCUUCCUUUGUGUUGCAUCUCUUUGAGCAACACUCGGGCAUGGCAUUGGCAGGUCAACAGAUGCAUCAAGAAUAUCCUCCCAGCUGUUAUCAUUUUCACUCUCUUCAAACUGAAUCAACGCUCUCUCUGACGCUAAGUCUCUUCCAAACCCAGCUUCCUCAAACUUCUCCCACUGAUAACUAAUAACCACAAUGUCCUUCUUUACUAUCUGUUUGUAGUCUCCAUCUUCUUCUGUUAAAGUUGCUGUCAAAGUUGAUGGAGAUCCUAACAACGAUGAUGGAGAUGAAGUAGAUGAUGGUGACUCAGUUAGUUGCCACAUCCCAUUAAGAAAAGUCUCCAGGGCUUGAAUAUGUAUCUGAGGAACUCGAUCAACAAAUGGAUACUCGUAUACUCCACAAAAUCCAGAUGCCUUGCACCAAUCAUAGAACUCGCAGAGCUGGUUUGCUUGCAUGGCUGCUUUCUUGUAGAUCCCGAAAGCCAGUAUGCAACUUCUAUAUGGCAUUUGAAACAGAUUUUCCAAUACCAAAACAAUUUCCCUUCUAUAAGUUGUGUAACAGAUGAAACUAUCACGAAUGAUAUGUUUCAUUGCUAUUUUCACAAUAAAGUUUCUUGCUGAAGCCCCAGAUGGCCUACAGUCCAUGACUCUGUCAAUCAAGCUUUGAAGUCGUGGCAAAACUUCAAUCAGUGUGCCAACUUCUUUCCUUUUAUCACACAAAUUUUCAGGUUCAGGCACUUCUUCUUCAUUGUAUGUUGCCUUGCUAUCCAAGGCAACGCAAUCAAGUGCUUCGUUGAGUAACUUAGCAUAUGAUCUAAUAAACUUGGUGUAAUCUUCAGGAUUCGCUGAGGAUUCAUCUCUGAAGUGACACGGAUACAAAGAAAACAAUCUGUUUGCUCUAGCCCACAGCAGCUCAGUUCGAAAAGGGCUGUUUUCAGGCAGUGAGUGAAGCAAGCGGUGAAGCAGAAGUAAACAUUUGAGCGCAACACGCCAGCAAUGAGUAUUGCCAAAACGACGGACAAAGCUUAACGCAAAUCUGUGGAAAGAAGAAGGAGAAAUGGAGAAGAUUUUCAAAAGCUCGCUGACAUAUUUUUCGGACAAGGGCAGGUCAUCCGGGGUUGUUGCCUUAAUAAUAAUAAGAUCAAUAUCACAAAAUCCUGCAGCAGUGGCAGCUUUAGCAUACCUAACACUGCUGCGUUCUUUUGCACGAGUGAAAAGUUGCCGGAGCCGCUUCUGCAUGGUGAUGAAUUAAUUAGGAGAGAUUGGUUUCAGAAUUCAGAAGGAAUGGAGAUUGCUAGAGCUCUGGGCUCUAGGGUUUUGUUAAAGGAUCUAGAGGCCUAGAAAGUAACGUUAUGAACUGUGAGCACAACGUCAUACAUUGCAAUUGAUAAGAUUAAUGUUCUUUUUUUCAAUGUUUAAAUAUAAAGACAAGAAUUGCGUCGUUGUACUGAUAACCCAAGGGCAAGGACCAAGGAAAAAUGUUCCAUUAUUUGCUGUCAUUAACCAAGAUAGAUAUGACUUAAAAAGCAUCUAUGCGUAUAUAACUCGAAACAAAAAGAUACAAAUGAAUUGAGUUUUUCAAUUUUGUAUGAAUAUGACUGACUGGCAGAAUCUGUUAUCAGUUGACUUCACAUAGUAAAAAGUGCCUAAAAUUUUAUAAUUUCUGUGAAUGAGAUAUAAAUAAAGUAAGAUGAUAGGUGGUGAAUCUAACACAGAAUUUAAGAACAAAUUUUGAUUCUAAUCAUCAUUUACUGUGAAUAAUUAUGAUGCAUGAUACGAUUAUUGUGAUACAAGUUACUGAAACCUUUGACUUAUAAACACUUCUAUAUAUAUAAAUUUUAGAUCCUGCAGUCCAUUGGAAGCAAAACUACGUCACAUGGUACAUUGAAAAGUCAUCAUCUAUCUUUCUUGACCUAUAAUAGUUGAUGAAGCCUAAUAUGAAAAUAUGUAAAGAGAAAAUUUAUAGAUAUUUGGAUCGAUAUAUGAAAUAUCAGCUUUAAUGAAGAAUAAAAUAUUCCCACCACAUAUAGAUGGGGGAAAUCUCCAACUUUCAACUCAAAAAUUGAGAUAAGGAGGUGCCAUCAUUCAACUAAAGAAAUUGAAUCAACCUGAAAUAAUUGUCAAAAAAUACCAAAUGCAAUAAGUUGUAGGAAUUUCAAUCUGAUUAUGACAACUAUUAAUUAAUAAAAUAUAUGUAGAAAGAAAACUAGAUAACACUUUCAUUAUUCCUUCACAAAGUGUCAGUCCUUUAUAAUUUUUAAUAAUACUAUGGUCUAUUUAAUUUUGUACUCGCGGUGUAUUUGGCUAGAAGAUAAAAAAAGCUUGGGAUUGGAUUUUUUUUUUUAAAAAAAACAAAAUCUAAUCCAAUAUUCCAAUCCCAUGUUUGGUGCAAAUAAAAUGAGUUAGGAUAGUUUAUCUAGGGCCAUACUCUAAUAAGGUAAAAGAAAAUGGGAUCCUUGGAAUAAUUUUGGAUAACUGCAAUUUAUUUCCACUAAAUGUCUAGAUGUUUAUGUAAAUUAAUAGAGCUGGAUUAUGUUUCAUUAUACAUAACAUACAGCAAACCCAUGAGUUGUCACCGAUGACAAAAUUGUUUCACACAUCGCAAAUUCAUAAUAUCAUAAUUAUUAAUUGAUAACUAGUUUUUUAAAUAUUAUUUAGCUAUUGUCGAGCAGCUUUUUUUUUUUUUUAAGUUCAUUUAGUUAUUAGUUAUUGUUUAGCUAAUAUUUUAAACAUUGAAUAAUGACAUUUAUAUUUAAUUGAUGACAAAGAAUACUAAUGCAUUAAUUUUGUUAAUUUGUAUCAAUAAAGAAUAAUUAAGGUCAAAUUAAUAUUUAAUUAAAUGAAAAAUACUUGUAAUAAAUAAAUCAUUUAAAUGUUUGAUCCAUGAUGCUAAAAUCACUAAUUUAUUAUUAUACAUAAUUUUUUUCAAAACUAAUUUACAUUAGUAAUAUUAUUAUUAAUUUAUUAAUAAUGAUGUAAACUAAGUAUUGUCAAAUUUUUUAUUAAAUAAUUUAGUAAGUUAAUAAAAGAAAUUUAAUAAAAGACAUUGCAUACCUGCAAGUUAGACAUUGUCAACAUUUAUUUGUUGAUGAUGUUAAAGUUUGACUAUAUAUCAUCUAAUCUUUGAAUGCAUAAAAGAUAUGUUAUACGUACGAUGAAAUUUAUAAACGACGUGUUAUUUCAUAAAAUUUAAAUGAAAUUUUUAUUUAUUAAUUGACUAUUACGAAUAACAUACUUUAAAAUAUCUAAUAAUUAUCAAAUUUAUAUUUAAUUUUCUUUCUAAUUUAUGUCUAAUUAUAUAUUGUGUAAAGGACAUGAUAGUACCAAAUUUCAUUAUAUUAUUAUUACCUCAAUUUUACAUAAGAGAAAUGUCCUUGGGUGUAAUUUCCCUCGUCAAGGUUAUUUCAGACAAAGCCAUUUUCGGAGAUCCUGCCCACUAAGCAAAACUUUCGCACCCCAAAAUUGUGUCCUGCAGCAGCUCCAACUGUCCAAUUUGAUGUGAUCAAAAGCAAGCCACCCUUUGAUUAAAGAGUGAAACGAGACUUGUUCAGUAUAAUCCCAUCCUAUCUUAUUAAAUCUAAUCUAAUCAAAAUAUUAUUUUGCCCUAUUAUUAAUGUAGUCAUUUGGGUCAUUUUCAUCAAGUUUUGGAAAGCUUAAUUUUAGAAAUGGCAAGGAACUUGUCAACCUAAUUGAAGAGAUGGAUGUUAUUUGCCGAAUGCCAGCGGACUUGAUACGCUUGGGUGGUGCUCUACUCUUCUAAGACGUAGUCUUAACUUCUCGAAACAAUGGCCUGUGGAACCAUGGAAGUUGGGACCCUUGAUUUGGUCCUCAUUUGAGACAAUGAAAUGAAUCAUUAUAGAUUUCAAGUAAUAGAUUAAAUUCGUUGGUUUGUAUGCAUAAAAUAUAUUGAUAAUAAUCGAAUAAAUCAUUACUUGAUUUCAAAUCCGAUCAUUAUCCUAUAGAUUUCCUUCGAAAACAGUUGACUAAGACUGGAAACAUUCAUUAGCAAGAUGAUAAAUUAUGGGGCCCUAUAAAUUGAUGUCAAUUUGUUCCCAGCGACAUUCAAGUGGUUUUAAUACAUCAAUUAAUGUUCUUGCCGUAUCCAACAAUCAAGCAGUUCUUAUUGUUGUUGAACAAGUAGUAGAGAAGAGUAGUAGUCCAAGUCCCAAGAAAAUGUUUAGGCACCGCAACAUGAUGGAAUUCUCUGAGUAUAUUGAUUACUUAAUUGAGUGAUAUUAAAUGAUAAAAAAUUAUUUUUACAACCAGUUGUCGAGAAAUUGAUGUAUUAUUCAAAUAUGAUUGGCUAGAAAUAUAAAAUUUUAAAGUAAGAAUAACAAGUUCAAAUAUAAAAUUUGGAGAAAAAUUUGAGUGGGUAGCUUGAUAAAGUAGGGCGUACGCUUAUUAAGGACAUACCAUCUAACAGGCCUGAUGGAUUCUACGAAUUAAAUACAAUAUGAAUAAUAUUUAAAAUUUAAAAUUUAUGAAUUUUAUCAUAUGAUAGACAGAUUUUUAGUCGGUGGGCGUACCACCUCACCUAACUAAGUAGGAGUGUCUGCCCCACACAAGUUUCUCUUUAAUAUUUGUUAGGAAAUAAUACAAAUUUUUUAUUAGUAUUAGAUAAGAAAAUGGAGAAUUUGUGAUUGCCUCGCUAAUUCAACCGGACAAAUUACCACAAUUGAUUUACAUUUACUAGUUACAAGCAAAAAGAAUGGUGGUAUGUUUGGUCCAAGUAGAAAAGUCAUCUCUAUGCAUUCUGUUUUAGUUUUACAAUAAAGAAAUCAAGAGUUAAAAGUCAUUACUGUUGACAAGUUAACCUUGAAAUGUAAGAAACUUCAAAAUCUUCAGUAUUCUCUACAAAAUUUAUAAUGAUUGUUAUACCCAUAUUUAUACUAAAUCCGAGCUCAAGGACUCAUAUGAAAUAACAUGUUAUAAUCUAAAUAGGAUAAAACAACACAAGUCUUAAAUCCUUGGCAAACUCGAUUCCUAUAAAAUAAGUGAUUAAUUUAUCUAAUUCUACUUCUGAUUAUUUUCUCUUAUAUAAAGAGGUCACUACUUGAAAGUACAUAUAUUAAAUAUAGGGCAUGAAAAAUAAGCAUAUUGGAGGAGGAUGUACAAUAUCCUCAAAGUCCUUUCUCUUACUCUAUUUCCUCAUUUUUAUUAUUUAUUUGUUAUCAUGUUACUUUUGAUCUUCAACUUAAACUUCAAAGGGUUUAUGCCAAUAACACUCCUAACGAUCUCUGAUUGGUUAUUAUUUUCCACAAUUCCGACCACUGAGUUUUUUAUUUCGAGAACAUCAAACUCUCUUACAACUCAUUCCUAAGGUAAAAAAACUCUCUCUCAACUCUUAUUGCUGAGUUAAAUUUUGGUAUCAACAAUGAUAAUAUUAAUUUAUUGUUGUUAUUAUUACUAUUGUUAUUAUAUAUAAGAACUAGAACAUAAUUGUCUUUUCUUGCUUUGCUUCUUAGCAAGGGCAGGGUCUGAUUCAUCAUGGCUUUCAAAUGAACCCCACCGCCCCAAGUAGGCCUUAAACCACCUUGACAGAAGAAAGAAGAAAAACCAGAGCUAUCAAGAGUCAACGGUCAUGCGUCCACAACGAGGCAAGCGACAGCCGCCAUUUAAACACUAACACCGUCCUCCGUCAUUCACACUACCAAAUACACGAACAAGAAAACCCCACCCCCAAGAAGCCAAAACCAUGUCCCUGUUCUUCUUCUUCUUCUUCUUCAUCUUCGUCCUCUCACCAUCACCAUCCCUACAACAACAGCAAAAGCCUCAAUACAUGUCAUCCUUCUCCUCAUCAGACUCCCCGUGGCGUCCAAACCAAAAUAGAAUCCUCCUCUCUCCCAACUCCACCUUCGCCGCCGGGUUUCUACCAAAACCAAAUUCUCGGAAUCUCUUUACCUUCUCUGUUUGGUACUAUAACUUGUCGGAACCCACCACCACCGUCAUCUGGUCUGCUAAUGACAAAUUGCCUGUCGCCGGUAACGGUUCUUUAGUCAUUGCCGCCACCACAGGCCAGCUCCGACUACUCAACUCUUCCAACUCAAACUUGUGGCCAAAUCCUAAAACAGCAACCGGCCAUCCAAACUCUACCAGGCUCUUCCUUCAGGAUGCUGGGAAUCUCGUUUAUGGAAACUGGCAGAGUUUUAAUCUACCAACAGAUACAAUCUUGCCUAAUCAGACCCUAAAUGGGCCCCCGCUGGUCUGCAAGAACGGCAAGUUCAGCUUCUUGAACGCUUCAGAGCUGGUGUUUGUAUCAGCUAAUCACAGUUACUGGAAGAGUGAGCACGCGUUUCAACAGCUUGACUAUUCCGGGAAAUUGCUUCAAGCAAACCAAGAUUCACUAACCGCAUCAGAUUUGGGUGAGACCCGGUUACGAAGAUUGACAAUUGAUGAUGACGGGAACCUGAGAAUUUACAGCUACGAUGAUAAUGGUGAUCGUUGGACAGUUGUUUGGCAAGCCGUGCAAGAAAUAUGCACAAUUCCAGACCUAUGCGGUGAGAAUGCUAUCUGCAUAAGCGAUGGCUUAAGUCGUUCGACAUCGUGCGUUUGUCCACCGGGGUUCAAGAACAGCACCCGCCAGGAUAAAUCUUGUCAAAGAAAAAUUGAGCUAAAAAAUCUUAGAAACACCAAGUUUCUCCAGCUUGAUUAUGUUAAUUUCUCCAGAGGGAACUUGUCGGAUCUAGAAGCUGACAAUUUCUCUGCCUGCAAAGCCAAUUGCUCAGCCAACCCAAAAUGCGUCGCAUUUGGAUUCAAGUACGACGGCAAACGCUAUUGUGUCCUCGUGGACCAGCUUCUGUACGGGUAUUGGUCACCUGGCACGGAAAUGGCAACGUUUUUGCGAGUCGACGCGUCAGAAAAUGACGUGUCAAACUUCACGGGCAUGACCAAUCUGUUGGUCACCACGUGUCCUGUGAAUAUCAGCCUCCCUUUGCCGCCUGAUGAAUCUAGUACGACGGCCAGAAACAUAGCCAUAAUAGUCACACUUUUUGCUGCCGAGUUGAUUUCCGGGGCCUGGUUUUUCUGGGCGUUUUUGAAGAAAUACAUAAAAUACAGAGACAUGGCUCGCACUCUUGGCCUUGAACUGCUGCCCGCCGGUGGGCCUAAACGGUUCACGCACGCCGAGCUCAGAGCAGCAACAAAUGGGUUCUCAAAUCUCAUUGGAAGAGGUGGGUUUGGUGAUGUUUAUAAAGGAGAGCUGACAGAUCAUCGUGUUGUUGCAGUUAAGUGCUUGAAAAAUGUCACCGGUGGAGACGCUGAGUUUUGGGCCGAGGUCACAAUCAUUGCCCGGAUGCAUCACCUCAAUUUGGUCAGACUUUGGGGCUUUUGUGCUGAAAAAGGUGAAAGAACUUUAGUUUAUGAGUACGUCACUAACGGUUCUCUUGCUGAUUACCUCUUCCGGUCGGGUCGGGUCGGGUCAUCAAGUACCGCCAGGGAGAUGGAGAUGUCCGGAGUGGGUCCGCAUGAUGGCGGAAAGCCCGUUUUGGAUUGGAGUAUCCGGUACCGGAUUGCCCUCGGGGUGGCAAGAGCCAUUGCAUAUCUACACGAAGAGUGUUUGGAGUGGGUUUUGCAUUGUGAUAUCAAGCCGGAGAAUAUACUUUUGGGCGACGAUUUUUGCCCGAAGAUAUCCGAUUUCGGGCUGGCGAAAUUGAGGAAAAAAGAGGAUAUGGUAAGCAUGUCUCGGAUCCGUGGGACCCGCGGGUACAUGGCGCCCGAAUGGCUUCGAUCGGAUCAGAUUACCCCAAAGGCUGAUGUUUACAGUUUCGGUAUGGUGCUGUUAGAAAUUGUAAGUGGGUCUAGGAAUUUUGAAAUUCAAGGGUCCAUGAUGAACAGCGAGGAGUGGUAUUUUCCCAAAUGGGCUUUCGAGAAGGUAUACGAAGAGAUGAAAGUGGAAGACAUUCUGGACCGCCACAUUAAGAAUUCCUACGAUAGCCGGGUGCAUUUUGAUAUGGUGAAUCGCAUGGUGAAGACGGCAAUGUGGUGCAUUCAAGAUCGGCCGGAGAUGAGGCCAUCAAUGGGCAAGGCUGCUAAGAUGUUGGAAGGAACGGUGGAGAUUACAGAACCUAAAAAGCCCACCAUCUACUUCUUAGGAGACGUGUAAGAUUCUUCUUAAUGUAAAUUACGUUUCUAUCGUUAGUAGUUGAUUUCUAUCUAGUGAUAUUCAAAUGUUGGUGGAGUUCCAAUGCGUAUCCACCGCAUGCAACUAUAAAUCAAUUGGAAUGAAACGAGAGCUCCAAGUGGUUGAUUUCUUAUGGUUUUAUUAUUAUUAUUAUUUAAUGUUGCUACACAUUGAAAAUCGAGAUACAAAAAGCAAUAGAGCACCUACCAACGAUUGUGAUUUGUUAUAAAGCAUGCAGUUAUUAUUAACUUUCUUCAAAAGGAAAAAAAAAAUUGGGUUAUUUAUCGUCAGUCCUCACAUGUUUUGACAAUUAGCGUUGCGCACUCACAAGUAUGUUAUCGAAACAAUUGGGGGCCGAUGCUAAAUUACCUUAAAAUUUUUUAUAGUAUGUUAUUAAUGAGAAAAUAUUAAUGUAUGUAGUAAUGAGUCAUACGAUACAGAGUAUUGAAUCUGAUUCAAAUUAAUUAAGAAUGGAAUUCUGCAGGAAUAUUUCCGCGCCAAUUUAGAAUCUUCACUCCAUUAUCCACUGAACGAACACGAAAUCCUUAUAAAGAACUGUCAACUAAUUAAUAUAAUUUGCUCAGACAAUAAUUUCUUAGCCAGUUUACUUUUGUGCAAGAGUUUUUAGAAAUAAACUGAAUUAUAAAUUCUUAAUUAAUAAAAAAUAUGUUUUUUAAUGUAAAUAUAUAAAAAUUAAAUGUUAUUUUUAAAAACAUAAAUUAAAAAAUUUUAAAAAAUAAAACUAAUAAAAUUUAAAACUUUAAACAUUAACCAAUAAAAUUCUAGAUAACGUUCGAAUAGAAACUGAUAUUAUCGUAUUUCGAGAGUCGAGAUACAAAAAUUUUGGCAGAGCAGGCAGACUCGGCAGAAUAUGCAACAUGGGAAAUUUGGAGAGAGUAUUGCGUAAACGUGUCAGCAGGUAAUUGGUCGCACUUCGUGGCAAGCAAUCGAAAAAACACAACAAAACCAUCGCUUUCACUUGGUUUACCAAAUUAAAAAAAAAAACAAGUUAACCUCGUCUCGUCGUCGUCGUCUACUGGUCUCUUCCAAAUUUACCAUUUUUGUUACAGAGCAAUGGGCUUGAGAUCCUCUGGAAGAAAGCUCUCGUUCGAUAUUCUAAGCGAAGCCGCCUCAGUCGAAGAUGCCGCUGAUUCCCGCCUCUUCCGCCGUUCCAAUUCGCUCCCUACGCACCGCCACACCGAAGUUUCGAUGCCGAAAAAUCGGAAGCGAAAGAAGCACAAGAAGAAGAAGCAGUCCUCGCCGGAUUUCGCCGUGAUCUCCGAAGAUCCGGUCUCCGAUUCCAAUGCGGAAAGCGCCGGGAGUGGAGUUGUCUUCGGAAACAGAAGCGACGCGAAUUGCCAGAGCUACGUGGCGAGUGCGUGCGCAAGUAGUACUAUUACAGUCGCGGCGGCUGAGAAUGGUUAUAAUAAUAUUAUUAAUAAUGGUGGAGAGUUGAGGCAGAGGAAUGUGGCCGGGAACGACGAGGCGGAGUCGCGGGAAGAGGAGAUUUCGGUGGAGAAGCAACAACAGCGGAGUAGUGAGGCCAACGGGAGUGUAGUUACCAAGUUGGAAACGGCGGAGUCGUUGGAUUGGAAGCGGCUCAUGGCCGAGGAUCCUAAUUGUAAGUAAACAAAAAUGCACUCGCUCUUUCCAUUUAUAUUUUUGGAUUACUUAUAUUGGUAAUUUACAAGAUUCGGUUUCAUAUUGAUGCAUUAAUUGAGUAAAAUUUGUCAAUACUUAUACCUUGGUGAAUUGAAUUACCGGUUGUUCCAGCUUUCAGCUUGCCAUAAGAUCGGAGAAAAUAAUUUGGUGAUGUGUGCUAAAAUUGAUGAUUAUUGGGGUUACUUGAAUGAACAUAUUUGCAAGAUUUUAGAGGCAACAGUAGCUUGUAAUUAAACACAUACGAGGGUGAUUACGGCGGAUUGAAUAAGACCGAUGGCUUUAGAAUAAAUUGGAUUGAUGAAACCAAGUAUUUUAUUUGUCAGAGACUUGUGAUGACUUGGAAAGGUUGCAACAAACGAUUGGAUUCGUGUAUUUCAAACAAAUUUAAUUGAUACGAGCUAGGUUUUAUUUCAUUUCUUUUUCCUUUUUUUGUAUAUUUUCAUAAAUAUGAGACUAAUAAUAUCAUUUCGCAUUUUUGUAGUCGCCUUUCAUGAAAUUAUGGUGUCUUUAUGAUAUUGGAUGUACUAGAAAAGUUAAAGUUUCUGUACUGGAAAAUGGUUAUGGUGGUUCUAUAAAGGUAAAUAUGGUGCUAGUACAUCACUGAUUAUGGGAUGAUGAUAGGAUAUCUGUUACAUGCAUCAUCAUCUGAUAUUUCUCUGCUUGUUUAUCCCCUCUGAUUUUGGUGUUAUAUCUUUCUGUCAGAUAUGUAUCCUGUUGAAACAUCGCCAUUGAAGUAUUUCAUGGAAGAAAUGUACACUGGAAAUUCUUUGCAGAGCACAACAACCCUUGGUGAUGAGAAAGAACGGCAAAGAGUGUAUGAUACUAUUUUCCGCUUGCCAUGGAGAUGUGAGCUGGUAAUUUUGGUUUUCCUUAUAUAACUUCAUAUGAAAAUUGAAAAAGACUGCCUGAAUUCUGAAAAUUUUCAUAUCGCUUAUUAAGAAAAAGAUAGUAUGGCAUAUGGAUAACUACUUUUUAUCAUUGUGGUUAAGAUUCUAAAAUGCAACAUUUUUGUUUUCAGCUCAUUGAUGUUGGAUUCUUUGUCUGCUUUGAUUCAUUUCUGUCAUUGUUAACCAUUAUGCCAACAAGAAUACUGUUGACUCUUUGGAGGCUUCUACAUACCAGGUUAGUUACAUUGUUCAUAUAGAUAUAAAUAUCAUUUUUUUCUAAUUUAAAUCUGAAUGCUACAUCUUAGUCAACACUUCAUUAGUUUAGCAUAAUUGCAUUUAUAUAUUUUUAUCUUUCCAGUGUCUUCUGAAAUGGCUGAAUAAGGAAAUUCUGUGCUAUUAUUGUAAAUAUUUGGAAAUGGUCACACAGUCCAGUGAACAUUUUCUUUGAGACAAGACUUCCAGUUUGGAUCCUUUGGAUAAAGAUUUUGCAUAUAAGAGUCGAUCAUUAGAGAUGUUUCUAGAUUUGAUUUUCAUGUUGUUGUUGUGGGGUCCUGAUUGCUAAUUUUUAGUUCUGAAGUAUAUAGAAAAAUAUAAUUGGUCGUAUAUUCUGUUUUUACAGAAUAUUUUGGCUGUCUAAUCCAACCUUGUGUUUUAUGCUAAAAUAUUUACAGAAUAACCUAACCAUGCUUGUGGCAGGCAGUUCAUUAGGCCUUCUGCAGCUGAGCUUUGUGAUUUUGCUUGCUUUGUGGUGCUGGCUUGUGCAGUCACCCUCUUGGAAGGAACAGGUGUAGUAAGAAUUGUUGCUCUGUCCAUAUUCUGAUGCUCUUCUGUUUUUGUUUAUUUGUUUAUUUUGUUUCCCUUGUCACACAUUAAAUUAACUUGCAUGACACUUGGCCCUGCCAUUAGUCUGUUUUUAUUUGCUCAACCAUCGGUUUUAGUUUUCCGUAUAUUUAGUUGAUUAAACUUCAAGAAGAUAAAUUUUCUCUUCUAUGUAUUCUCCGAUUUAUCUGUCUCUUCUCGUUCAAAAAUUACAAAGCAGAGGAAUUAAGAAGAGUUGACAUAUUAAAGUAAACAACAAUUGAAAUCAGUUUUUUCUCCUAUGAAUUCUCCAAUUUAUCUGUCUCUUCUAGUUCAGAAGUUAUAAAGCAGGGGAAUUAAGAGAGUUCUUGACAUAUUUAAGUAAACAGCAAUUAAGGGUUUAAGUUUAAAACUAUUUGAACCAUUCACCACCAUUAAUCCAGUUAAUGCAAUAGGGGCUCAAAGUCAAGUUGAAAAAAGUUUGUUUAUUUUUAUUAUGUACUUUGCUAAACUUCAAGUGUUGUUAUAUAAUUUACUCUAUUAGACAUGUCUACUAAAAUCAAAAGUCAUAACUGUUUCAGAUGCAUAAUUAUGGCAUCCACCAACUAGUUUAACCCGGAUGUUAAUAGUACUAUCUUCUGUGCAAAUUCUUAAUGUUUCUUUUUGUUCCUGCAGAUAUCAGCUUAAUCUAUCACAUGAUUCGUGGCCAAGGAACUAUUAAACUUUAUGUGGUGUACAAUGUAUUGGAGGUGAGAGAAUUAAUUUAAUGAACUUUGCAUUUUCUUGUCUAUUGAAUAUGAAAAUUUUUGGUUGAAAACAAUCUAUUCCUUAACUGAAAAUCUUCAAUCAGAUAAAUUGUUUUUAAUAAUUCAUGGCCAAAUGGUGAAAAUAUAUAUAUGAGCAAGAGAUUGUGGUUUCAUAUUUGAUAGUAUAUUUGCCUUAUAUAUAUUUUUUCCUUUCGUCUGAAAUAUUGUUGUCUGCUAGAAUAAAAAAGUGCACAAACUUAUAUAAGAAAAGAAAAGAAAGAUUCUGGUCGUAUAUUAUGUUCUAAGGAGAUUGAAAUUAACAUGAAAGAGUGACAUAUAAUAGUGUUGACGCCAAGAGUUUCAGCAACCUCGAGAGAUGAUUAAUUUCUUUGAGAAUUUUAAUUAACUUACUUCAGGAAGGGGGUUCAUAAGAAGUUUUGCUGUUAUUUUGAUUAGGAGCAAUAAAAAAAGAAACUAAAAUUUGCCUGAUUAAUUUUCUUAUCUGAGUGAGAAAAAGAGGGGAACAGGGAGAGAUGGCUUUGAUGUUAAUGUCAUUGGAAGGUUUGUAGCCGUGGCAAGAUCAAGGAGUGCUUAUCAUGGUUUGAUUUGGAAGAAUUAAUUAAUAGUUGUACAGCUCAUAAUCUAUGAUAAACCAUGCAUUGACGUUAUUCUAUCAUAUUCUGUGGGUCAGCUGAUUUCAUCUCUAAUUAUUUUGCUGAAAGUUGUGAAAUGAAAUUUUUUCCCCCUUCUCUUUUCAGAUAUUUGAUAAACUAUGCCAAAGCUUUGGAGGAGAUGUAUUGCAAACACUGUUUAAUUCUGCUGAAGGGCUUGCAAAUUGUACAGAAGAAAACAUGAGAUUCUGGAUUUGGAGAUUCAUUUCUGACCAAGCAUUAGCAAUGGCCGCUACAAAUAUCCUUAUUGUUUCGACUUUUUUCCUUAUGCUGCAUGCAAAUUUUAUUAUCCCUGUUGGCUCCUUGACACUUCUUACUUGCUCAUUCUUUCAUUUUAUUAGCUCAGGCAAUUACUUUAUCAACUUGUAUUGUUGCUCACAAUAAUGCCCUGCUUGCUUUGCUGGUAUCCAACAAUUUUGCCGAGAUAAAAAGUAAUGUAUUCAAACGAUUUAGCAAGGACAACAUUCACAGUCUGGUGUAUGCUGGUAAGUUUACCUCUUUGCAUUUGUUCUUGGACCUUUCUACAUCACUGAUGAUUUUGUUAUGUGUUCUGUUGUGUAUCUAUUGCUUAAGGUAUUGUCCUAUGGAUUUUGGUGGUUUACAUGGUUUCCUCUGAAGUUUUGUUGUGCACUGCUUAUGAACAGAUUCAAUUGAGAGAUUCCACAUUUCGGCGUUUCUGUUAUUCGUUUUAGCUCAAAACAUUCUGGAGGCUGAGGGUCCUUGGUUUGAAAGUUUCCUUUUUGUAAGUUCACCUGAAAAUAUCUAGCCACUCUAUACUUUUAAGGGGAAAGUUGCAGUCUUUGUUUGGUUUUCUUAUAUGUUUUUAUGUGUACUCUACAGAAUGCUCUCUUGGUUUUUGUAUGUGAAAUGUUAAUAGACAUCAUAAAGCAUUCAUUCCUUGCCAAAUUCAAUGACAUAAAGCCCAUUGCAUACUCUGAAUUUCUGGAGGACCUAUGCAAGCAGGUAUGUGCUAUAUUGUUAUCACCAUUUGUCUAUUUCUUAAUUUGAUAUUUCCUUUGGAUACUUAGUUUAUGUCAAAGAAACCUUUUAUUUUUCUCGCAGACUUUGAAUAUGCAAACUGAGAAUGGGAAGAAGAACCUCACAUUUGUUCCUUUGGCUCCAGCUUGUGUUGUAAGCACCAAUGACUGUUCAAUAAUAUAUAUAGAGUGAGCUUCCAGUCAGGGAAUACUGACUAUAUUAAAGUCAAGAAUAAGUUAAAAGACAAAGAAUUCAAUAUACUGAUGAAAUACACUGCAUUGAAAUCUGUAUUAUUUUAACUCAUUUCUAACUUUAAUAUGGUUAGGAAACAUGGAUCCUUGAUUGGAAUAUUAUUAUUAUUAUUAUUAUUAUUAUUGGUUUGUUGUUUUAGAAGUAAAUAUAUAUUUUUCUUUUUCUUGGAUUUUAGGUUAUCCGAGUGUUGACUCCAGUUUUUGCUGCUCGCCUUCCCUGCACUCCUCUUCCAUGGAGGCUGUUCUGGAUUCUUCUUUUGUCUGCCAUGACUUAUGUCAUGCUUGCCAGUCUCAAGGUGAUGAUUGGCAUGGGUCUACAGAGACAUGCCACUUGGUAUGUCAAAAGGUGCCAGAAGAGAAAACACCACCUUCAUUUCGAUUAACUUGUGAAGAGUUUGCUGCAAACGUAUAGCUCAGUUUGCUCAAUGGCCAGAGUCUUGCACAGAAACUAUACAUGAUUUACAGAGAAACCUAUUUGGUAUGCCAUAUUGGAUGAUCAGCAGUGGCCAUAAAACUAGGGCUGCCUGUAUAUUCCGAUUGCUCAAUUUCACUUUUACUUCCUCCAAUUUUGAUACAGAGAACAGUUCCUUCAAUGCCAAGCACAUAGUGUAUACAAAGAGUAUCAAGGAAAAUUUCUGAUACAGUUGAAUAUGUUUUGAAGCCUAGAUAUGAGAAAGAGCUAGCUGCUGUAAUGCCUUCUUUUUCUGCUGGUUUACUCCAUUAAAAUCCACAUUCAUCUGGGUUUCAGAUCAAAUCCACUGAGAAGCACUAGAGUCUGAUCCAUUAAUCGGCGCUCGUUGAUGGUUCGAUCGUUUUUUUUUUAAAUAUUAAUAAUGAAUACUAAACAAAAAUGUUGCAAAUAAUAAUAAUCAUCAUCAUCAUCAAACUGAUUAACAGCUUUGUAGAGAAGCUUGCCAAUUUCAAACAUAUUGCACAAGUAAAGAAGUAAGAUUUGAAAGGACGAAAGAAGCCGUAAUUUGUGAUUAGAUAAUUAAGCGAUUGAGGAAAACGGUUUGCAACAGCUAAAUAAGAAAAAUUGAAAAGACAGGAAAAGGGAAAUCACUAGAUUUCAGUUAAGGAUGACACGCCAUGAAUCCCCCAAUGUUUAGUAGAAAUCUUUUUAUGCUAUUCACAUUUUUUAAAUUUAUUUAUUUAUUUUUUAUUUAUUUAUUUUUUUUUUUUGGGGAAUGCUAUUCACACUAUGAGUGAAUCCAGGUGUUCCCAUUUUAAAAAAACUUUACACCGCCACCAGAAGCCAAAAGGCAAUGCUAUCCCUGCUUCAAAAUUCAAACAAAGCUGCAAAGCUGUUUUCCUACCAUCAGACAAAAAGGAUUGUUUAGACAUUUACUGGCCUUGAUUAACGGUAUGCCUUUUUGAGGCUCUUGAGUCGCUAUAUUAAAAAGAAGACGAUAGUGGAGAAAUUUGAGGCUUGAGGCCAAAGAAAAAAACCCACCAUCUCCAUCGGUCAAACCUUGCAAAUUGUGUAUCUGUAUAUGAAAAUGAAAUCUUUUUGUGUUGCUAAUCACUGAAAUAGUUUGUCAAGUUAACUAAUUAUUAGCUAUUAAAGAUUUUUAUUAAUUUAGAGAUAAAUUUAAUAUUUAGAUAUUUUUCAGUGUACACAAAAAAAUAUUAUGUAUAAGAGAAGAAAAUUUUAAUAGGACCAAUAUAUCAGACAAUCUUAAUUAUAACUUAUUUUUUCAAUCUUAAAAAUGUACAGGAUAGUGGAGAAAAAUUCAUGCUCAAAUUAAACAGUUUUCUACAGAACAUUAUCACAUAUAUGUUUAUCACAUACAUCUUUCUAGCAUGAUGAUGAUAUGAGAGUGUGGAGAGAAUAAUUUCGAAGAUGAAGUAAUAACUUUAAAAGAACAUAUAUGAUAAUGGUUCAUUAGACAUUUGUGACAAUGUGUCAAUUGUUCGAUAAUCAUAUAUGUGCAAUGUGUCAAUAGAUGUGCGUACUAUUUAAUUAUACCUACUUGAAAUGUUCAUCUUACUAGAGAUCUUUUUUCAUAUAUAUCCUUUAUAAAAUACUUUUUAUGUUAAGACUUUUCAUUGGAAUAUUAUCAUUUUAUCACCUAAUUUUUUUUAUUUAUCACUUUACCACCACAUUUUGUGACAAUUACUUUUUCUCACUUAAUAUUUCAACUUUUAUCAUUUUACCACAAACCAUUACAGUCAAUAGAAUUCUUAAUAGAAAUUAUAGUAAAAGUCUAUUUCACCUUAAAUUAUGCAAGUGUAAUUUAACCCUCUAAAUUGGAAAAAAAAAUAUAAAAAUUAAUUACGUACAAAGAAAUAAUACUUUUAUCAAUUUAAUUAUUUUAUAUAUAUAUAUAUAUAUAUAUUAAUUAAUAAAAUUAUAAAUAUUAUACCUUGUGUGAAAUUCGUAAAAUACUGAAUAUACUGAAAUUCUUAAAAUACUACUUCGACAUCAAUAAUUUAUUAAUAGAGUUAACAAUCAAGUGGUAAAAUAACAUAUUCAUAAUACCUUAUAAUAAUUAAUCACUUGCUUCAAGUAAAUUCUGAUUCAAUACUGAUAAUAUUAUGUAAAAGCAAAACAACUAUUGAAGAUUCAAUCAGCAGCAUAUAAUGAUUACAUAUGCAUGGUUGACCAUUCCUUUAUGAACCCACAAGAAAAUCUUAUGGCCUCCACGCCCCCAACUUGCAAUCUUGCAUUAUUAUCGGUCAAAAAAAUAUAUUAAAAUUAAUAAUUAUUGUAGAUUUUUUUACCUCAGCGGGAUUUUUUUUUUUAAUCAUAAAACAGGAAAAAAAGAUAAAAAGAUAAAAAUUAUAUGUAUUAACCUUCCCGCCCACAGUAGAACACUGGACUCGAUUGGACACUUCUCCUAUUAUAAAGUGCAACUUCACUGCUUUAAUUAAAAAUUUUCUCUUUCCAUUUUGAUCUAUUAAUUUUAUAUGAAUCAUAAUUAUACAUUCCUAAUCUCUUAAAUCUUACCAUAAUAUUCAUGCUUCUCUUUAUUUCCACAAUUCACAAACAACCCCACUUGCAAAUUUCUUCCUCUUCUCCCAUUCUUAGUCUUUUGCAUUGAUAUUCGUGGAAAUACAAACAACCCCAUCAGAAAACCAAUUACAAAUGGUACGAAUUCCUAUUAAUUUCUCUCAAAUUAUAUAUAUAUGGUUGCAUUUUGCAAUGAGAUUUUUCGAAUGACUUUCGAUUGGAUUGAAUUUGAUCAGUUUCAAGUUGUGCAAUUUGAUCAACUAUUAUAAAAUUUGAUAUGGAAGUUUUGUUUUUGUUGUCGUUGUCGUCUCAUGUUGGGCAGGUGGGAUGCAGAUUGAUAAUCAAGAAGGAGAAGGCAAGUGAUUGGCUCACAACGCUGCUGAAAAGCCAAUUCUUUGGUCCAUGUAUGGACCAUCUGGAACUGAAGAAGAAUGAGAAGAACGUGUUCUGUAUGGACUGCAAUAUUGGAUUCUGUAGGAAUUGUGAGGACAAUCACAGCCGCCACCGCCGCCUUCAGAUCUGCAAAUACGUUUACCAAGACGUCGUUCGUUUCCAAGACAUGCAAAAACACCUUGACUGCUCCAAAAUUCAGGUAUCUUUAUUAAUUAUUCAUUCAUUUAGUUACUAAACCAUCUUGAAUUAAUUAUGCUUUAAUGCUCUGUUUUCCGGCUGUUUUUGGCUAUAAUUUUGCGUAUACGAUAUUUUGCCAAUUGGUUCAGAAUCUGUGAAGUUUAUCGAUAGAUUCAUAGAUUUUGCUCCCUUUUCUAGUUUUUCCAAUUUGAAAUUUAUUGAAUGAUUUUAAUUUUACAAUCUCUACUGCUACUUCUGUAUCCUAUUUUAAUUUUUUUUCCCCCUUUUUGGGGUGAGUAUUGAGUUGGGCUAAUUGAUCUCAGAGUUUUGGUUCUAUGGUUUUCCUUUGUUUCUUUGUUUCUUUCUUUUUUUUUGAUUUUGUAGACAUAUAAAAUCAAUGGUGAAAAAGCUGUGCAUUUGAAUCCUCGGCCUCAGUUGAAAGAUGCAAAGCCAUCAACAAAAUCAAAGACUGGCGGUUCUUGUGAAGCUUGCGGAAGAUACAUUCAAGAGUUGCCGAAUCGCUUCUGCUCCAUUGCAUGCAAGGUUUCAUUUAUUUCACUACUUUCUUGAUUAGUAGUACUAAUAUUCAUGUGUGUGUGUGUGUGUGUUAAUUGUAUUGUUGAUAUCAUCAUUUUCAGCUCUGUGUUGUUCCACUGAGCCCCAAAGACCAAAUCCAGAAUGGCAUUAAUAUCACAUUCCCAGUUGAGAAAAUCUGGAAUCAAGAAUCAAGCACAAGCGAGAAGGAAUCGUCCCUGACGCAGAACGAUGCGGCGUCCGACGAUAAUCGAUCCGGCGAGAAUCCGGGGUUGAGGCCAAGAACAAAUAUAAGCAAAAGAAAAGGCAUCCCCCGCAGAGCUCAUCUCAUCAGUUAAACAUGAAAAUUUCCUCCUCAAAUUCUUUUUACAUCCAUUACAUUUUGGUUUCUGGCUCCGCACGACUCAGAUUAGAAAAAACCAAUAUCAGAACCACAUCUACAAUAAUCUAGAAGAAAGAAAAGUGAUGUAUCUAAGUAAUAAUGUGAUCGCUAUUAAUGCUUGGAGCAUUCAUUUUUUGUACAGUAAAAGAGAAGAUCUUGGUAUGAUGAUUUUGUUUAUCUUUUGAUGGAAUUUUGUUAUCAUUUGUUGAAUUAAUCAAAUACUGGUACCCAUCAUAUAUAAUAAAACUUUAAUGUAUUUUCUUUAAUUGUGGGAUUUGAUUGAUUACGUAUUGGGAUGGGGGCCAUAUUCUUGAUGGGAAUGUUUCGCAAUGCGUUAACAUGGGGUUUGGUAAAAUUGAUUUGUAAUUUUGCUUUAAUUUUCUAAUCCGUUGGCCGUCAAAAGCUUUGAUAGAUUUGUCGCAAUCUCUGUUCAAUUCAUGUGGCGUCAAAACUUGUUGGUCGUUCAAUUUUUUUGGGCCCUCAUUCUCCUUACAUUAUGGCAUAAUUGUAUUGUUUAAGUCUGUUUUUUUAUGGGAAUGUGGCAGACAAAAAGAGCCACCAAAAGAUGGUGAGCAAAUAGGAAAUUUAUGUGCAUGUUACACAUGGUCUUGGAUUACCAUCCACACUUCUUUUCUUUUUCUGCUUAUUCUUAUGCUCGAGGCAUAAAAUCCAUAACUCUAUGCUGCCUGACAUUUUGAAACUUUUUUUUUUAAAUUUUUUAGUGCAUGCCCUAGAUGAAAGAGAUGAUGCAGUAAUUUUAAUGGAUGAAAGAGAUGAUACAAUAAUUUUUAAGGGCGUGGUCGAGUGACUUUCAAUAUGUUUUUCUUAUAAAAAUGAAUCUACUCUAAUUCAUUACAAUCAUGAAACACAUUGUCGAUAGCUUUGAAUUUCUUUCGUAUAUGUGAAUGAUGAAGAGAUUUAGACUAAAUUAAUUGAUUUAAAUGGAUAAAAAUUUUAGAUCAUUUUGAUUAUGAAAAAGAGUUGGAGAUCAUGUUCCCUUCCCCCGCUUUUAAGUUCAUACUACCAGGAAAACACGGAAAGCUAUCUAAAUUUGUAUCCAUUGGGGGUCGGUGCGUGUGCGGCUUUGUGUUUUCCAAAAUUUGCUUUUGGACUUUUGUUUUCUUAAUUAGGUUUCAAACUAUAAACUAACAAGAGUGGAAGCUGGCUACUCCCAUUUGCCAUUGUGUAUAUAUAUAUAUAUUCAAGUUCGGAACCCAAUAAAAUUUUCAUAGAUUAUUAAUUUAGAGGAAAUGAAAUAGUAUUAAACCUUUAGAGUUGAUUCAACUUUGAAAUUUCUUUUAAAUUUCUAUGCUUUGUUAGGUGAUCCACAAUGUGAACUAGUCCCUGAACAAUUUUAUUUAAUUGACCUCUACGUUCGAAUUUUAGAAAAUAGUAAGGAACUAAAAAAAUAAUAAUUUAGAGCUAAUCCCCUACUAAUUUUUUUUUGUUCUGACCACUCCUACUUUUUAUGAAAAAUCACGUGAAUUUGACAAGAAAUAUUUAAGGAUCUGUUUGUAACUGUUAUAGUUUAACUUAAGGAAAAUGCUUAAUGUCGGGAAGGCUGAGAGAAACAGCAGUUUGUGCUGCCGUUUCACGCGUGUUCUCUUGGCCCCACCCCUACUUUACUUUAAGCAUUUACUCUUUUGUUUUUUAUAUUAUUUUAUCUGUCUUUUUGUUUUUUUCUUCUUCUUCUCUUUUUUCUUUCUCUCUCUUUUGCAAUUGCUUCAUUACUUCUCUCGAUCGUCAAUUUCAUCUUCACCAACAACAUCAUCAUCACAAUUAUCUUCUUCUUCCUCCUAUCAAUUUUGUUUCUUCUUCUUCAUCAACAUCAAAAUUUGGUUUCAUCUUCUAUCUUGUAUAAUUAAAAGCCAAGCACCCCUUUGACUUGGAAUAAAAAAAAUCAAAAUCAAUACAAGUGUUGUUCUUCAUUUUUUUUGGAUUUUUCAGAACAAAAAAAAUAGGGAAAACACACUUGGAAUAAUGGAGAGAUCCGGACGAAGUGACAAACCGGACUGAUGGUGUCUGUCGUGACGAGCUGAAGAAAAAGAGGUGGCUGUCGGUAACGAUGCCGUUGACGAGAGAGAGUGCCGAUGAUGCCGAUGAAAUUGAGGGGAGGAAGAAGAUACGAGAGUUUCUGGUGCUAGAGAGAUGAGUUGACUGCCGCAAACGUUAAGUUGAAAAGAAAAGAGAAAGUAACGUGGGGGUGAGGCCAAGAGAACACGUGCGAAAUGGCAACAUAAACUGCCGUUUCUCUCAGGUUCUCUCAGCCUUCCCGACGUUUAGCACUACUCUUAACUUAAUUUGACAAGACACCGUCACAAAAAAUAACAAGUAAAUAAGAACUAGAUCCAUUUGUAUUUUGACUAAUAUAAUUACUACGAGAGUUUAUACUACUGAUUCCAUUUCACAACAAUAGAUCUCAAGAAUACACAGAAUGAGCUCCUAAAUAAAAUUAAAAAAUUAAACAUUUGAAAUUCUGAUUUUUCAUUUUUGGUGGUAAAUUACAAGAAUUCCACUAAUUAUAUGAAGGUAUUUUACAGUCACACUCAUAUAACAUUAGAGCCACCACCAUACAUCGACCAAAUAAACAAAUUGAGAUAAGGAGAGUGACCCGCAUAUAUUCAGCUGGAAGCGGGCGGCUGGAGCUGGGGAAAAAAGAUGCGUCGGAUGCUGCGAACUGACAUUCUCGUCCGACAAGUCGGACAUUUGCCCUGAAGACGGAUGGCAUCGACAAUGCAAGAUUUACAGAAGACAUGGCCGCACUUGGUGGACGACUCUUCCUUCAUCGUAUCCAAACAUAUUCCACAAGUGAACCUCACCUCUCCCACCACCACCGCCCCAUUCCUUGAUUCGCAUACCCUACAUUUCUGUCAUCACCAUUCCCUACCUUCAACUUUAUUUGCCAAUUCAUGAAUUUUCUUUCAACUAAUCAUUUUAUGAUUACAGAGUGGUAAAAGCUUUUUACCAUUUAUAAUCUUGUAGUUAAUAUAGAUUUUUGGAAUGCCUAAAUUAUUAAAAUUCUCCGCCGUGGACUCCCUUAUUUUAUAAAUUAAUUAUAUUAGUCUUAUUAAUAUAUAUUCUAAUUAUAGUGGGUGUUAAGUGGUACUAUUGAGUAAAUAGUGAUUUUACGUACUUUUUAGUUUACCAUUUUAUCCUUCAGAUGAAUUAGGAAAAAAAAAAACCACGUCUUGUUCAAUGUAUUUUUUAUGUUAAACUUUAAGAAAACUAGCAUUACUCUUUGUAAAGUUAGACCAUUAAUAUAUUUUUACGUAAUUUAAGUAUGCGUUUUCUUUAAUGUAGACAUCAACACAUCAUAAAAGAACUACUCAACAUAUAAAAAUGUAAACUACCAAGAUAAGGGAAAAAAAGAAAAGAAAAAAGAUAGUAUGCGUGUAUGCUCACCUCUUUGUCGUUGGAAACUUGGGGGACGUCUUCUAUUCCAUUGAUUGAUCGACCUUGAAAAGCUAUGUGGCUGCUGUCUACUGUCAAUUCAAUAACAAUCAACGAGAGAUAUAUUGUGAUUUCAUGUAACAUUAUUAAUUCUACACGCAGAAAAUAUGUUCCUCAUCGUUAAUUUGAUUGAUCUUUCAACAAUAAUAAGAGGUGACAAAACAAUGAGACUGCCGAGCGUUUUAUUAAUUACCAGUUCUGGGCCCUAAACGAAGUUCGAGGUCUUCUUCAGUCAAGGGACCAAACGAUAGCGGGUGACGUCGUUUUAGCAUGGUCUGCCAAAAACACACACCCAAAAUCUUAACAUAUAUAAAAUUUAAAAUUAAUAUCGGUCAUAAAAAAAAUUGAACAAAAACUAUUAUUUUCUGCAUAAAAACAUGAAACAGCGGGAUCAAAAAUACUUUGUACUUGAGAAAUGAGAACUAAUAAGGAGAAGUGAAGAUCCAAAGGGUUGAAGAAUUUUUGAAUUGAUUGGAAGAAGAGAGGUAAUUAGUAGACUGUAGAUUUUUAUAUAUAAUAGAUGGAAACUAUUUUUCUGUAUUUUUAAUUUUGGUACUUUAAUACAAAAACGAUAUGGGACAACUAAGUUCUUAAAUAAGACAAAUCAUUUGAUUUUUGAGAAUUUAAUUAGAAACCAACGUACGAGGGACCUUGCAGUUGCCAUAUCCAAUGCAUACUGAAAUGAGUUAUGACAUGUGCCCAAAUCCCAUUUUGAAAAAAUAAUUAGAUGUUAUUUUGAAACAUUAUGAGUUGCUAGGAAAAAAUAAAAAAAUAUAAACGGAAGAUAUAUUGCCAUUAGUAUGAUAUUUUGAAAGAUUAUCGUAUAUCAAUAAUCAUAUUUCUUAACAAGAUAUUGAUUCACUAAUUUUGGACCAAAAUUAACUUAUUUUAUUUUGUCAAAUUAUUUUGUUUCAUACUCUGUUUAUAUCUAUUAAUUUUUACUACGCACCAAGUAAAAAUUAUGCGGUACAUUGCUGUGUUAUUCAAAUUCAAGGUUGCAUAUUAACUACUAAACUGGGUCACUUAAAAUGGCCCACCAUAUUAAAUAAAAUUUGUAAUUGGCCCAAAACUGUGUAUGGCAUUUUUUUUGUUAUGGGAUAUGUUACGAUUUUACUGAUAUAUUUAUAAUCAUAAUUUUACUGGGACUCACUUUAGAGCAACUGCGCUGUUGGCGGAACUUAAAAAAUACCAAAUGAAUUUGUGACCAAUUAUUAGCAGAAUUACAUAUACCUAUUAUUGUAAUUUUACAUGAAAAUUGAUUGAUAUUAACUAAAGUGAACUUUUUUUCUCAUAAGAAACUCAAAAAUAUUGUGUUGCCUUUAACCCACGGCCAGGUUGGAGAGCUCCAACGGAUCCACUUUUAACUAAAGUGACCAAAAUGAGAGUAAAAUUUCAGCAGCAUAAACGUUGCCUAAUUCUAAGUAUAUUUUUCCUUCUACAUACAUAAUACAUCCUCUCUUGUAUUUUAUUUGUAGGGCAGAAAGAAUAAUAACAGGGCGUUGCUCCAAAUGAAACCUCAUCCUCAAUUGUAGUUGUAGAUGAAAUGAAAUCUCUUGCUUGUUUGGUAAACAAUAAAAUUGGUUUAAUCCAAUAAAAUUGUAUGUUAAAUAAAAUUAGUUGUAGUUACUUGGUUUCUAUUUAAUUUUUUAAUAAUUUAAACAAUAAAAUUGUAUGUUAAAUAGAUCUAGGUAGCGUUUACUUUUUGAAUUGGAUUGGGAAUCUUGAGGAGUGGGAAUCCUAGGAUUGGGAGUGUGGAGUAGGUUAUUUACUUACACUGAAAUAGAAGUAUGGAAUAGAGAUCAGAAUCCUAUUUAUGUGUUUACUUUGUCUUGGAUUGAGAGUAAAUAGUUUCAAAUUAUAAUUUUAUCAUUAUUUAAAGAAUAAUAGUUUUUAAUUACAAAACUAAUAAAAAAUAUAUUUAUUUUAUUAUAUUUGUAAAUUUAUUAUAAUUAUUAAUAUUCUUAAUUAUGAACAAUAAAUUAUUAAUUUUAAUACAAAAUGAAACCUUAUUUUAUUUUAUUUAAUAUAAUUAUAUUAAAUUUAUUAUUAUAUAAAAUAAUAAUAUAAUAUUAUUUAGUACAAAAUUAAUAUUUUCUUAGAAUAAACUAUUUAUUAUUAUUAAUAUUAAAUAAAUAUAGUACUAUUAUUUUUAAAAUAAAUAUAAUAAUGUUAUUUUAUUAAUUCUCUAUUAAUAUAAUAUUAUUAUUUUAAAAUAAUUUUAACUUAGAAUCAAUGCAAAUUAUUAUUUAGUUAAAUAUAAUAUUAUUAUUCAAAUAAAUAUAAUAAUAUUUAUUUUAUUUUAUUAAUUAUAAAAUAUUAAAUUAAAUUAAAUUAAAAAAAUAAAAGGAUAAAAAAGGGAGAGGUGAGAGUGGAUUCCCACUCCCACUCCCCACUCCAAAAAUGGGUGGGGCCCACGGAGUGAGAUUCCCACUCCCUUCUCAUUUAAAGGAAGUAAAUGCUGGAGUGGGAGGAAUCCACACUCCUCACUCCCACUCCAGCAAGUAAACACAGUACUAAUCAUACUACAUAAAGCACGAGAUAAUAGUAGUUAUAAUUCAAUUUAAUCUUAUCAAAUCCAAUGCAGUCCAUACCAAACAGGUCCAUUAUCAGUUGAUUUGUUUUGGGACGAGGUUAAUAAUUGAAGAUUCUUUUUUUGGUUAAAUAAGUAACAAUUAUUUAAUAUUUUGUUCAAUAAAAUUAUUUUUCAAUUGAUAUUUUUAUUUACAUCAAACUUUGGUGCAAUUGUAGAAAUAUCUUUUCGAUAAGAGCCAUUUAACAGUGAGGGAGACUUUUAAUAAAUUAAAAAAAAAAUGAUAGUUAGAACGAGAAUCAUAUAUAAAAAUGAUAGUUAGAAUGAGAGUCAUAUAUAAAAAAAUACCUUAAAAGGUAUAAUUUUGGUAAACUGCUAAUUCGAUAGAACUUAUCUCUUCUUCUUUUUCUUCAACAUUUUAUGUGCUUCCAAGAAUCUAACAAUUGUAGAAGUCCUAGUAUAGGAAUCUCCUUCUUUCUAUAUUCAAGGGAGUUUUUUUUUUCCCCCUUCAUCUUCUAAAACCUAAUCACUCAUUCAAUUUAUAGAGUCUGUGAUAAUAGGGUCUUCUUAUUAUAAAAGUAUUAAAGCUUCAAAAAAGAUAAUAGUUAGGUAGGUAUAUCUAAGUAAUUAAUAUUUAGAUAUGUAAUUUUGCGUAAAAUCGGGAUAGUUAGAUUUACAUUUUUGCUAUUUUUUCUACCUCUGUUAAACAUGAGAUUGUCUUUUUAAUGGUACAAAACAAAUAAUAAAUAAUAGUAUUUACAUAUGUAAUUUUGCGUGAAAUCAAAGUAGUUAGAUUUACCUUUGACUUAGAUUCCUCUUUCUGUAUUACACAUGUGACUGUUUUCCAUGAAGAUCCAAAAGGGAAGAGAAAUGUCUAUCCAAAUAAUUAAUUUUUAGAUAUGUAACUUUGUGUAAAAUCCAAAUGGUUGAAAAUUUUUCCCCCCAUUUGUGUUAUAAGGAAAAAGUUAUUUUUAUCCCUAAAGUUUAAUACAAUAACUCAUUUCAUCCAUAAUUUUCAAACAAUAACCUAAAAUAUCAUUUCGUUAACUCACCGUUAGUGUAAAACCAUUAACUAGUAAUUCAUUAAGGGCAAAAUAUGAUUUUUUAUUAAAGUGAUACAAACUAUAUUAAAAUAAUUUGUUUACACAAUUAAAUAACACUAUAAAAUAUGUAAAAUUCAUUAAUUUUUUCUUAAAUAAAAUCAACGAUGAUAUAGUUUGAUGUAGCCAUUGAAUAAUUGCCAUAAGAAACAAAUUGUAAUUAACACAAUAUCUUUAAAUCAUUGGAAGAAAAACUCAAAAAUACCACCAAAUUUUAUGUGCUUGCAUGUGUUGAAUAUCUUCUUUAUCUUCAACUCAAUUCAAGUCAUUUUACAGUGCAAUUAGAGAAUAUACUUAUAUGAAUAAAAAAAAAUUGUGAUAUUUUUGGUACUUAGAUUUAUGGUUUAUACAGCUUUCAGCUGCCAAAAUAGAAAGAAGUGAAAAAAGAAUUGCUUGAAAUAAAAGUUUUUUAUUUUUUCGGUAUUUUCUAUUUGGUGGGAUUAGAUAAAAUUAUUUUUAAUUAUAUGUCAAUUUUUAUUUAUUUUUCUAAUUUUCUCUUCGAUAGAAAAUCCUUUUUUACCCUUAAUAAAUUACUAACAAACGAUAUUCAAUUAACGGUGAGUUAACGGAAGAAUGUUUUGGGUUAUUGUUUAAAAAGUAAGGAUGAAAUGGACUAUUACAUAAAAUCCUAGAGAUGAGAAAUAUUUUUUCCCUGUGUUAUACAUGCGACGGCCUUUUUAAAGAUGUGAAAAAAAAAUGUUAAUAUUUUAAGUUAAACACUUUUAUGAGUGUAAAUUGAUUCAAUUGGUAAAUUUAAUCGAAGCAAUUUCGUGAAAUUUAUUUCAUAACAUUGGUGUGUCAACACAUCCAAGCCAUCCAUACUUCAAUCUUAACUUGCGACUGAUCGAAAUUUGAGAAAUAAGCAAUCAUUUUUACUAAUGCCCCAUUUGUAAUCUCAAGAACUGUAGAUUUGGAUUACAACAUUCAAGUGGAGUGAGUCGUGUUGGUGAAAACGCAGCAAUUGAUGUUUUGGGAAUUAAGUGGGGUUAAUAAAGAGAAAAUUAUGAAUGAAAAAUUAUACCGAAAUGCAUCAAAGCCGUGACAAGUCAAAGUAACAAUAAUUUGGUUUUACUAAAAUCUCUACAGAAACGAAGAGAAAAAAAAAAAGAAAAGUGGGAUUUUUUAUAUAUUCAUGCAUUUUUUUUUUCUUAACAGACAAAUUUAUCAAUCUCACAAGCUCAAAAUGAAAUCAUUUAAAUUUUAGGUAUAUGCUACAAACUCACCAGCCACGGCUGCGGUGCAGGCACGGCAUUUGAACACAGAAGGAACAGCUUCAUUAUCGGCAAUGCUGUUGCACCUUGUAUGUUGCCACACCUGGCAAAUAUCACAAGCUACCAUUCUCUCCCCAUCAUCAUCCUUAGCCCCACAUACACAGUCAACGGUCCAAUCAUCGGCUCCACCUUCAAACCUCAGCUCCGUAUCCAAAUCUAGCCCCCAGCCUCUCACCCAAACAUCCCCUGCACCCCAAAACACCUGAUUCUGUCCCAUUUUUAUUUCCUUCACGACGACCUUUUCCAUCAUGUAGUAGGUGUCUCUCAGUGAACAUUCCACAAUCAGUUUCAGUUCAUCAACGGUAACAUCCUUUGGCGCCACAAUCAACUCAGCCGGCGGCAAUGGCCGAGUCAACUGAGUCGCUAACUCGUUGUAGCUCGGCGAAACCCGGCAUUUUAAUCUCAUUAAGUUGUCAUCUUCACUUUCUUUAAACUGCCACUCCUUGGCAAAAUUCUUGCAGUCUAAGAUUGCUCUAGCUGCUAAGCUCACAGUAUGAGACUCAGGGUAGCCCAAUAACACAUUCUUGUACAAUGUUAAAACAUCGGCAUAAACAUCUUGCCCCGGCAUCAACGUUGGAAUGUGAUACUCUGGCUCUGUUCUUGUUUGAAUUACCUCUCCAUUAGCAUCAUCUUCAAGAGCGAAUUCAGCUAAUUUGGUUGCUGGGUUUAUUUUGCGAUGAACAAUUCGAUUGUCCAAUAUGAUUUUGUGUAUGUGUUUAAUCAUGAAAUCAAGCAGACCCGUGUCGCCAAUUUUCUUUCUUGCUUCAUCACGCAAUUCUCGACGACUAAUUUUGGCUUUGCUGUUUAUGCUUGCAUUGCGUUGUUCCAGUGUGGUGAAAAUUGCCUUUGCUGCCUGCUCAAGCCUUUGAACACCCCAUCUACAGUUUGAAUUUUCAGUGAGAGAGGUCAGUGAAUCGAAUUCAACUGGAAUUUUGUCGUCGUUUGUUGUUUUUGUUGAGUUGUUUGGAGAUAACGCGGCUAGUGCCAAGGCUGUUUUCCUUUGAAUUGUUGGUUUCGAUGCCAAAGAAAGCAAGAACUGAAGCAAAUCACUAAUGGUGAUCAAUUGGGUAUCGCUUGCAUUCAUGUAAAGAUGAAUGAUCUUUCCUAUAACUCUGCCCCGGCUAGUGUUGCCAAAAUCAUGAAUGAUUCUCUUGAGCUCCAACGAACUUAGAAUUUGGAUUGCUCUAUUGUACUUGUGCUCUGUAACUCCAAAGCUACCGUGGCAGAAUUUAUAAUCCCAUUUGCCAAACCAAGAGCAUCCAUAUGUAACACAGUGUAACAACCGAAGAUCCAUACAUCUCUUCACUAGAACGUCGUGCACUGAUAUUUUCCUGAAAUAGAAAAACACUUGCCCAUGUUCAUUUACGAUAUGAAAUUUAAAUCUGAGCCCUUUACGGUAAAGUUUGUGUGAAAUUUCUUACUGGGUAUGGAGAAUUGUGCAGAGACGAUCAAAUAGAUUCAUGAUCUGCUCUUCACAGAGAUAGUUUGAGCCGUCUUUGCUUCCACUGAUGGAGAGAAGAUGGCCAAAUCCAUUGCAAUGGACGACGCCAUGCAAGAUAUGAUCACAGUGCUCGAGAGUGUCCAUGUUUAGAGGCUUAAUCCAUUUUUCGUGCUGUGGGAUGAUGAAAUGAUACCUUCUUUUGCACACAAAAUGGUGACUCCAUCCUUCAAUUAAGCACAACGAAAAAUUACGUCAAACAUGAAUUCAAUCAACACUCAGUCACUCACAAAUCCGUAAAAUUAAAGAAAAUUUCACAAAAUUAGUAGUUGAUUCAAUUGGUAAAAACUUUUAUCCCAUUGAGUGAAUUCAGUUUCCAUUGACUUCAAAAAAGAAAAAAAGGAAAAAGGAAUCCCGAUGCGAACACUGCUGAAUUGAAGUGAAGAACGAAAUGGAGGAAAAAGCCUCACCGACGCAUCUGCAAAGAUUGCAAAAGGGGUGUGAGGACUGUUUGAUGCUUUCUUCGAGGGUGUAAAGAGGGAAAACGACGCCGUUGGAUUCACUCAAGAGCAAAGUGCACCAAAUUGGGUUGUUUUGAACUUUGUAAUCUUCUGUGUCGGCGUAUUCUCGAAGAAACAAUCUUAUGUUUUCUCUAAAGGGCCCGCGAAAGUCCAGAGAAAACGUCUGAGUAGCAAAGUUGUUAAUAUUAAAGAUGGCAGGGACUCUUUUCCGUUUCUUGCAGGAUUCAAAAAUUGUGAUCGCCAUUCCACAAUACACAGAGGUCACGGAGAGAGAAGAUCAGAAGAAGAAGAAGAAGAAGUGUGUUUGGGGAUCGGCCAUCGUUUGAAAAAACUUUUGAAGAGUGAUUUUACAGAUGCGUCCUUGCGAGGGCGGGAGAUUUUGGAGCGUUGGUUUUGGUGUUGCUUAGUCAUUUCCUUAGAAUUGGUAACUUACCCCGUUGGUUAUCAUGCUUCCACAGCAAACACCGUGUGUGGUCUAACAAAUACUCUUUUUUUUUUGUUAAUAGUAUUUAAUAAUUAUGAUUUUUAAAUAUAUUAUAAAAUUUUCAUUAUACAAGUAGUAAAUUAAUUAAACUUAAUUUCCGAACAACAAGUAUUAUUGUUUAUUAAAUAUUUUACUUAAAAUUUUGAUAAUUACAAUCUCAUUCUAAAAUAAGACUUUAGUGUCCUGUUAUGUCUUAAUUAAAUUAAUGUAUCGUGUCACAAAUUGUCAUCUUCAAUUACAUAAUAAAACUUUACUCGAAAGAUUUUAUUGAAAAAAACGAAACCUGAAAGUUUGUUGAUGAUGGAUAAAUUUGUUGAUUGGUAUUACAAAGUCUUUGCUUGGAGGGAGUAAAUCAGGCUCAAAUGAAUAGAAUUUGAUGGUGUGUUUACUUAUUAAAAAUGAGAAUGAGAAUCACGAAAAUAAAUGAUGUAUUUAUUUGCUUAAAUGAGAUGUGGAAUAGGAAUCAAAGUGACGUUCCGCCUAAAAUUAAUAAUGAUUAUUAGAAUUUCUAUUCCCAGUGAGAAGUGGAAAUAGAAAUCUCAUUUCCUAAAAUGAUUAUAUUACCCAUACUUAAAUCUUAAAAUUCUUAUUUUGACCUUCCUUAUAUAUUAUUAUAAUGAUGGUGAUGAAAAAUUAUUAUUGUUGAUAAUAAUAAUAAUAACAAUAAUAAACUAAAAUUAGUUUAAUAAUUUAUAACAAUUCAUUCUAAUUUUAAAAUAAAUUAAAUAUAUCAAUGACAGUACACUUCAUUCUGAUUUUAAUUUCUACAAUUAAAAUAAAAAUUUUAUUUUAAUUUUUAUUCUCUAUUUUAAUUUAAUCAAUUUCGAUUCUAACUCAUUCGGAUUACUUAUUAAUAAAUUGUGAAGACAACCACCAAAACGAGCGUGCGGAUUAAUCGCUACGGAUACAAUCGUAGCCUACGGGAGCACAGGUAGCCCGUUACCAAGAACGAAAAUCGCCGCAAUUCUCACUCUAAUUUUCUUUCCUUUAUUUUCUUUUCCGCCUUUUAUAUUCAUUUACAGAUUCUACCACAUAAAGUUUCUCAUUUAUUUUGUUUUUGUUCUUCUUAUUUCUUGGAUUCGAUCAUACAUUCUUGAAAUGUCGGUAUGCCUUUUUCCCUUUUUCUGUGACACGUUUUGCGACGGACGUGACUUGCUUAUUAGAUCAAUUUCGUUUUGUACUUUCAAUUGGUAUGCCUAGUAAAUGCAUGAAUGUGAAAAUACGUUAUGUAGCAAUAUUACCUCUCACUGAUCUCUGCAUUUUAUGUGUGCUGUUGUGCGAACGUUAAUGAGAACAUAAAUGCAUGCCAGAGAAAAUUGAAGAGCAAACAUAAGAUUUUGAAUCUACAAAGAGUCAUUUUUUUUGGGUCCUAUUUACUUUUCUCUGUUGAGUUUUAACAUUUAGUAACGCGUCAUGUGUGGUGGUCAUUAAAUUAAUAAUGCACAACCAUUUCGAUCAGUUCAAUGGUUUGCAAAUUUUGGAAUAUUUUUUCUGCAGCAAAUUAAAUUGAGGGGAAGUUCUCACUGUAGUAUGGCAAGAUGGAGGAGGAUCCUAUAUCUUUUUUCGACCUAAGGAUAAAUAUUGGUGUUCAAGGGCAUGCAUAAAUUUGUUGGGAAAUGUUGGAUACCUUUUGAACUCUCGUGGGUGUAUCUGUAAUAUAAGACAAAAUUUUGAAAGAAGUUUGUUGUUAGGUGGAAUUUUCCUCGUAUUGAUGUGGAAUUGUCAAGCUUGUCAUGGCAAGGAACUGGGCUAUUAUUGUACAAUGCUUGACGAUGUAUCUGACAUCUUGUUGCCACAGCAUUAGUUCGAUGAUUUAAAUGAAUACUACAUUGUUUAUCUAUAUACAUCAAUAUUUACGUUGUAUUUGUUUCUGUUUCUAUUUCAUGGUAAUUUCCCUUUUUGCUUUAUCAUGAUAUUUUGUUCAUAUAAUAUGCACAAUGUUUCCAGUUAAAAAAAUAUUAGAAGGACGUUAGUUCUCUGUGUUAGUAGAAUAUCCUGGCCAGCUAAAGGUUCUAAAGCUCUCUGUUUUGCUGUUCUACCUCUGGAUCACCUGUUUGGGCAUUUCACUUACAGGUCCCGACAGACCAUACUGGGCAAAGUCUUGCAGCAGUUCCUCUGUCAAAUGAGACAACAAAUUGGACAAUUGGUGUUUCAGAAGUGAGGCAACUAUGUUUUGGAAAUAGCGUUUGUUGGUUCUAUUAACAGUAGUUUUGUUUCAUGAGUAAUGGUGUUUACUAUUAUGUUUCUCCUCAAAGGCUCUUAUAUUUGAAUAGUGCUUGCAUCUUAUCAGCAGCAAAUAUAGCUUCAUAUGAUAGUAGCAGCAAUCAGCUUAUGGUAUAUAUGACAGAAAAUAAGUAAUUGUGGAUUUUCCAUCUCAAGUGGAUGUAUUGGGUCCAUCAAUGGGAACACAGAAUUUGCAAGUUGAAGAAGAAUUCAUAUAUUGCUGGAAGUCUAAAAUCUCUUGUUUCAGCUUAAAUCCCUGAUAUGUUCUUUUUUUUUUUGUUUUGUCUAAUAAAUUAAAAGAUAAAGCUUGUAUAUUUUGGAUUUGGUACUGUGUCUUAUAUAUCUACUUUGCAUCUCUGACAGAUAAAAACACUCGAGGUUAGCAAUGUUUCACUAGUUGUUUCUGAGGAGGAUAUCAAAGAGUUCUUCUCUCUCUGUGGUGAAAUUCAGUAUGUUGAAAUGCGAAGGUCAGCACUCUUGAACAAUAUAGCAAUGUACUUAUUUAUUGCAGCCAUUCUGAGGAAACAUGAUUGUAUCUUUUGCAGUGAGAGCGACACAACUCAGCUUGUCUAUGUUACCUUCAAGGAUUCUCAGGGGGCAGAUACGGCACUGCUUCUAUCUGUGAGUUCAUCCAGAAUGGUGGUUAAAUUUAAUCAUUACUAUUUGAAACCUCUGAGUACCAUUUAUCCCAAAGCAGAAUGUUGCAUUAUGCAUGUGUUUCAAAACGUUUCUAGAUAUUCAAACACCCCUCUCCAUCAAAAGAAAAAGAAAAUGAGAAAACUGCAGAAAUAAUAAGAUUUGGUAAAGCAUUAAGCUAUUGAUUUUUUUUUUUUAAUUGGAUAUAAAUUCAGAACAUAUUCUCAGUAAUGUGUCAGUCCUUUGUUUCGGACAUUAGUUGAGUAAGAAAAAAGAGACUUUCUUAUGCUAACAGUCUGACCUCAAGGCAACUACACAAGCUUGAAAUAUACAGUCCUGAGACUCAGAUGUAUUUUAAAAUAUUAUUGAUAUUUAUAGGGUGCUCCCUUGGAAUUUGUUCCUUAACAUUUGAAUUUCAUAUAUCUUAUUUCAGGGUGCCACCAUUGCUGGUCUUCCUGUCACUAUUACUCAUGCCCAAGAUUACCAGCUACCACCAGAUGCCGUUUCACUGAAAAUGGUAAGUUUUGUGGCUGCAUAGAACUGUAUCUAUGCUUCUGCUUGUGCCUUUGCUUCUGAUUCUUGGGAUUCUUAGGGAGAAACAAAGAUUCAAUAUAUACUCUGAGCUUAUGAUAUGAGAUUUGAAGAGUUCGCAUUUCUAACUUACUUAUCUUCAGAGAUCUUUGAACUGAGGCAUCUGAAAAUGUUUACUUGCAAACUGAUGCAAAAUUAAAUAUAUUUUGAUCUGACUGAUUUAUAGAGAAAAAGAUAACUAAUAUGAUAUGUUUUAUUUAUGUACAAGUUUUAUUAUGAAGCUGCUUGCUUUCUAACUUUUCUACAUCCGGUAUGUUGCGUUUGGCACUUCACGAAAACAUAGGGUGUACAACCAAGAUACAACUACUAAUUAUGUGCUAUAAAUCUUGUUAUUUUUAUAAUUGAAGGAGCAUGAGCCACCUGAAACUGAUUCUGCUGUUAAGAAGGCUGAAGAUGUGGUAAGCACCAUGCUUGCAAAGGGCUUUGUCUUGGGAAAGGAUGCCAUCAACAAGGCAAAGGCCUUUGAUGAACAGCAUAAAUUGACAUCAAAUGCGUCUGCCACUGUUACAUCCAUUGACCAAAAGAUGGGCUUGAGUGAAAAGCUAAGUGUGGGCACAGCUAUAGUCAAUGAAAAGUUGAAAGAGAUGGACGACCAUUUUCAAGUUUCCGAGAAGACGAAAUCUGCCUAUGCAGUUGCUGAGCAGAAAGCAAGCAGUGCAGGAUCUGCAAUCAUGAGUAACCGUUAUGUACUAACAGGAGCUACAUGGGUUACAAGUGCAUUUAGUAGAGUCACAAAAGCGGCUGAGGAUGUGAGCAUGAAGACCAAGGUGAAGGUUGAAAAGGCUGAAGAGGAGAAAAAAGAGGGCAUUAACACCAAGAAGGCAGAGAUAAUCAAUGACCUUGCACUGGCUAAUUCUGUCAAGUCUCCGGAAGGAGAUCCUCCUCUGGCUCCAAUUGAUUCAACUGAUAGUAAGCUUGGAAAUAUAUGAUUGAUUUGAGGUUUCUUGCAUACCCUUGAAUACUUCUGAUUUUCUUGUAUGAUAAAUUUUACAGCGGUGCUUUCAUAAACUUUCUACUUCUUGUACUCAAUAUUAGACGCAGAAUUUCUUACUAUCUUCCAAGAGGAACGACUUUAUUUAAUAUGUAGUUUGUGUUUACCGUUUUAUGUACAUAUAUCCGUGCAAGUGCCUGUGUAUUUUAAGUUCAUAGAGAUUUUCAUGUAAGGAUAACCCAAAAAUCCAUUUGUAGAAUGCUGGCUAUCCGAAUUUAGCUAAAUGUCAAAGCUUCCUUGCUCACUUCAUUGUCUGUAUGAAAACCAUACGCUUUUACUCGUGUAAAAUGCAACACGAUUUCGGAACUGGUAGUAAAAGUUUAUAAUAUGGCCUAGCAAUACAUGAACAGCCUUGGAUGAUAAUGGUCUAACUAAUUGCCUGAGGCAACGUUAUUUAAAAUGCACACGUACUAAGGGAAAAGAAUUUGGUUAAAGGUUACUUUUCGAAGAAAUGCUAGGUCACUUUGCAAAAGUUGCAAUGACCUUACAAGAACUAUAUGCAUAUCACAUACUAUGCAGGCAACAAAUAUAUAGGUUUUUUCAUUGAAAUAGGCAAAAUUUGAUGUUAUUAUCAAGUUGAUGUCUUACUCAGGUUUCUUUUCCAUCAUAAGAAAUGUUUAAACUAAAUGUUAGAACAGUUGGGCAGCUGUUCUUUUAAAACAUAGUAAACAAGUGUGUUCAGCACUUUGCUGGUGAUAGUAACCAUGGUCCAUGCAUUGAUCAUCCAUAGAUCGGAAUGAGUGGUUUAGUUGCUAGCUUAGCUUCUGUGAAACUCAAAUCUCAUCAAUUUAUGCACUAUAUCUAAUAGCUCCGAGGAUUACAGAUUCAGAGAGUGUUUGGCAGCGCAGCUGCCCCAAACGGACCCUCAGUCAUCUCAAUCUAAUUCAAAGUAUUACAGCCCCAGGGAGACCAGCAGAGCAGCCAAUAUAGGAUUGUACAUAUAUCUAGAAUAAAUUCGCUGGAAAAGAAUCCUAGGAAAUAUCUUUUCUCCUUUUGAAAAUGAAAUGAUCAAAAAAAUGUCAGGCAACAUAAGAAGGACUUUUCUCUGCACGAUCCUGUCACUAUUGCUUACUUGGUAACGAACUUGCCAUUGAAAGACUUCACCCAAAUUUUGGGCAUUUCAAAAGAACUAGAGUUGUGUCUUCAAGUACAUACUUUUACCUACUAUUUAAUGAACACUUUACAACAAGCAUCAUUUACUGUUUGAAUUUUAAAAGAAUUGAAGUUCUUUUACCUAGCUAUGAUUGAGUGGAAUCUAUAAAAGGUUGCCUUUGUACCUUUCUCCCAUGCCCUUAUGAUGAGUGAACAAGAAAAAUAAAUGUCAGCAAACAGAAGUUGAUGUUUGGGGUCAUUUCAGGGUUCUUUGCUAGCUUACAUACUGUACCAACCACUCCAGGCUCUGAUAAAGUUUACAGAUUAUCAGUGAACAUAUUAACUUGAAAAAAAAAAAAAACAGCAAUCACAAAAUAUCUGGACUUGGUGAUUUUGUUAUAUUGCUGCAAUUACCGAAUUAAUACUCUCAACACACAUGAGAAAGUCAUAAUAUGGGAUUAUUUUGAUACCUUUAUGCAAUCAGGUAGAUCAUUGUCUUUUGUUCUGACAUGAAUCUGCAAAGUUAGAUAAGAGUAAUCAGAAUGUAAAAGAGUGACUGUGUGGAUGGACCAGUUGGUCCAUAUUAAAGCAGAAAAAAAAUGGAAUACUGGUGACUAAAAAGGACAAUAUUUCAUCAUUUACAAACGAUAGAUUGAAAAUUGAAUCGUUUUGAAACAACAAUAUAAGAGUAGCCAUUUUGAAUGCUUUGUAGACAACAAAUAGUUUCAUAGUAUGGUCUCCAGUCACCCCUGAAUCAAUGAUAAUGGCCUCAACUAUCUUCUAUUUCAUGAGAUUUAAAGUUCAAUGUCUUUUUUUAUUUUUUUCUUUCUGGAUCUUUCGGGUUAGUAUUUUUACCUCAAUGACUCUGUGGUAGGAUGUAUCCUGAUGGCUUUCUAGCAAAGCCAGAAUGACAAGUGCAGCUGCAACAGUUGAGGGCCAAUAGCUCAGGUGCUCAUGAUCUGAGAGAGCCAACACUGCUAGGUACUUGGCCUUCUUAUCCACCCCUGCAUCAGCUUUGGCGGCUUUCAGGUAGAACCUACAUUUUCGACAAUUUCCCAACUGGACUAAGAAUAAAAUAAAUGGAUCUCUAUCAAGCUCUUUGACUGAGGAUAGUUUAUAGACUAAGAAGGAAAAUCAAAACAACUAUGAAUAUUCUCAACGGUAAACUAAAGUUAAACAUCCAUCAUCCUAUGAAUAUACUUGGGAGGAAAGAUCCACACCAUAGGAAAUUAUAGAUAGUAGGGAGGAAGCACUGGAAGUUGAGGACCUCCUGCACCAGCCAUUCCAUGGCCACCACUUCACAUCUGCUAUAAACGUUGUUCCCUAUGUAGAAAUUUUUUUGCCGCACACUGAGCCAUAAAAAAAAAUUUCAGUACAGCUAUCUCCAUCCAAAUAUUUGACAUAUUAAAGUAGGCACAAAUUAUUCAUAUCUUUUGAUCUUAAAAAUUCUAUAGGAAAAAACGGCAGAGAAAAAUGUCAUCACCCGUUGUAGGGCUGAUUUUCUUCAAUUCUGGUGGCCAAUGCAAGACAAGCUACUCCAACAAUUUGAAGAUUCCUUUUGAUUUUGAAGAAUCCCCUGCUCAGAAACCGAUCGAGAAGGCUAACCCCAAGGAACAUUGUCUCCUGGUGUAACUCCUUAGCAGUACAUUGCUGCUAAUCCAAAGUAACAUGUUCUGAUCAACAACUGAUAAUUAAUGAAGAAAGAAAAUCAAUUGAACAACUGAUAUUUCGCUUUGUUGAUACUAAAUGCCAAUCCAAGGCCUUGUAAAUUCGAGAUAAUAAACAGUCAAACACUUCAAAAUAUACCCGCAAGAGAAAAAAAGAAGACAAAGAAUCUGAUUUAAAAGCUCAAAGCAAUUAAUCACUUUUGCGAGCAAAAUACAUUGAAUAUUUUAAAUUCAUGUAAUCUCGUUGUUUUCUACUUUAUCUAUUUUCUUUACGUUGAGAUUUCUACAUGUCAAACACUACCUUGUGAACUAAACUAUUUCACAUUAAUUGUGGAAGGGCUCGUGAUGAGUUUAUAAAUGCAAGAAAAAAAUCUUCCUUGAACUAAUUUUUGGGUUUGAGAGUAGUUAAAGACCACUUAACAUAUAAAAAGUCCACAAGAAUAUAGGCUUGCCCAACAAACUUAACAAAAUAGUGGAGCUUUUAACAUCCCUCUAACAUCAUUAUAACACUCCUUAUACCCUAAGUUUAAUUUAUAAAAUAUAACUAAUAUAUUAAAAUUGAUUAUCUUCCCCUAAUUUUUUUACUUAAAAAAUGUAUACUUUUAUUUAUAAAAUACAUAUAAAAUCUAAAACCUUGAAGUAUUUUCUUCCAAUUUUAUAGUUUUAUUUUCGUAACUUUAAACCAUUAUAAUUUUCUCAAAAAAUAUUUUUUUAUUAGAACUAAAGUGUAGAUAUAAAUUAUGAAAUGGAGUCAAUGUAAAAUGUUAGUUAAACAAAUAAUUUAUUUAAGUAUUUAAUUAAAUUUCAAUUUAAAAAAUAAGAAAUAAAUUAGAUUGUAUUUAGUUGUUUAAAUAAUUUCAAUUAAAAUGGAGUUCUAUAAGAAUUUUGAUGAGUAACAAAAAGUCUACUUUCAACCAAACUCUCGGACUAGAUGCCAUUGGCGCUCUCCCCGGAGUCCACUCAGCUAGGAGGAAAAUGCUUUAAAAUCACCUACAUACACCAAACCACGUGCUACUACUUUGUCACGCAGACCUCUCCAUCACUCAUGAAGCAGGGUAAAGAUUGAAUUGACAAAAAUACCCUAACACGGACACGGUGCCAUGCCUUUCGCGCUCUCAAGUAGGAGGAUAAAGCCAGCCUAGUUUGCAAAUUAUAACAAACACUGUGCACCACCUCUACAUUCUAUUACGUGCCACAGACUGAAUGGACACAAAAUUUUUUUUUCGUGAAAACCGUCACCGUAUGUUUUGUUUGUUCCCUGCAACAGAAUCUACUUGCUAACAGUGUUCUGAAGGGUAGGCUGUCCAGGCCCAGUGAAAAUACGAUUAAAUUGAACUUAAACCAGGCGAUUAAUUACGUAACAGUAAGGACGCAAAUCACUAGUCAUGAGUCAAAUGUAAUCACCUCUACGAUCCAGUGGACCAUCUGAGACCGUUGUUCGCGUAUGAGGUCGCCGUACUCUGUACCGGAAAAGUAUUCCUCGGCGUAGUCGUACAAAAACGUUUGCCUUCGCUCUCUUUCACGAAACCUUUGGUAGCUCUCUUCGUCUUCCUCAUCUUCGAACCUCACAAACUGAAGAUUAAAAAGUUCACAGUAAAAAAAUGAGAAUAAUUAAGAAUUAACUCGGUUGAAAAUCAGGCAUUUGCACGUUUGAUAACGGCGAAAUUUCAAAAAAAUUAAGCAGUAAUGUAAGAGAAUAGUCAAAUUAGCUGAAUAAAACCAAAAGUAUUUGUUUCAUCGAUUAUGCAGUUUACACAGAAACCAAUAGGAAUAUUAAAAUAUUGAUUAAAAAUAUAAAAAUGAGAAAAUAAAAACAACCUUAACAAAAUGAGACUAACACGAAGGAUUAAUUAUGUUUAGCUACGCUGCUACUAAGAAAAAAUUAAAGAAAGCAAACAGAGAUGAAGAAUUUAACUUACUGUAGACGGCUGAUUCUCUUCUUGAACGAGAAAACACUUUCUGGAAUCUAGAGGAACAGAGGACCUAGAGAACUGCUUGCUAAACUCAUGGAACAGAGAAUAAGUAAGCGAUGGAGGACUGUUAUCGCCGGUCGACCGUUCAGAAAAUUCGCUUCCAGAAUCAAAGAAAAUCGACGGCGUGUAAUCCGAGAAACCGAGGUCAGAGUUCUCCGGGAAUAUGUCGAAUUGCAGCUCAGAAAAUGCAUUCUCGUGACUUGACGAGUACUGAGAUGUGUUCUCAUAAGAGAACUGCUCCGUACACGCGAGAUCCGAAUCAAAUUUAGAGCUCCUCGUCUCUUGCUCGACAACGGACUCCGAUUUUGAAACGAUGAAAUUCGAAUCAACGCCACCGUUUUUUGAAAUAUCGGAGAGUUCAAGUUUUUCUUCUACUGCUCUGCUUUCACUUAGCUUCGCCACGGAGCAAGAUUCAACACCAGAGCUUAUUGAAGCGACGUCGUUGUUGUCCUUGCACACCGGAUUUCGUUCGAAAGACGAAAUAUCAGAUCGUGAAUUGUCGUUUGGUUCAACUUUCUUGAACUUACAACUUAUCUCUCCAAAAGCAGCUCCAGAAUUUGAUAGAACACAAGACGACUCACUUGCUUCAACUUCAUAAGCUUUGGUUUCGUUCUCCAUCUGACGCUUGUAAUACGACCUCGUGAUCCUCCGAAACGGCUCGUCGCCUUGAAUCUUCUUCGUCGUUUCAUUAGGUUCAAUUACUUCUUCGAACUGCCUCUUCUUGAUGUUUGAAGAAACUUCGUCGCCGAAAUGAGAGCAGGAGCUCGAAUCGACGGAGAAUUCCGAGAAGCUUUUGGUGGUCUUGUUUUCACUGAACACAAUCGGAGAGAUCUUCGAACGUGGAAGACGAAAUCGCUUUGAUCGGAGCUUCUUCUUGAUGAACGGCUUUGAUUUGAUCAUCUUUGCUCUCAAUUUUAAAUUCAAAUUUGAAAUGAAAAUUUGCUUGAGAUUAAGAAGAGAGGGGGGGAGGGGGCUAGUGCUGAGUUGUAUUGACUGUAGAGUGUUAAGUUCGCGCGAAGAGGUUGUGGACGUUGAAGGCGAUAGUGCGUGGUGGCAGGGCUUAUUAUACGCUGCGUGGGGACCACGUGAAGAGUCAGUUUCUCACGCACGUAAACGGUGAAAUUAGUUAGUGUAGGGACGAUCUAUUUAUUGAAGAAUUUAGGCGAAUUGGGAAAGUCCACGUCAGCAUAAUGCAAUGGCGAGAGGUCUAGAUUCUGACUUGGGCCACCUAUGGGUGAAAUCAAUCGUCAGGCUGUGUCUGCGUUCGGGAGUUCAUUUAUGGCAAUUCCAAAACUCAGAUUAAUUAAAAAGAAUGCCUUUUUCUACUAAAAAUAAAAGGUUAUUUACCAAAUUUACUGCACCAAUUUAUUGGUGUUACGAAAUUAUCGUAUCAAUAGGAAAAUGAUAAAGUCAAUAAUAUAUGAUGCAAUAAAUAAAAAAAUGUCAUUUUAAUUUGAGAUUAUCAAAUCUUAUUAUCCAAAUCAUACAAAUUUGUGGGUGGUAAUUGGCUCGAAUGAUAUUAGACAAUUAAUCUUAGAAUGUUAUGAAUCUAGCAUCGUUUUGUAUUUAUGUGCUUCUAAUCUAAGGAAGACGCCGCAUUGACAAAGUUGAACUUUUUCUAUUUGGGCCAAACGAGCGAGAAUCAGUAACUUGUCAUCUCUUCGUCUUGUCUACAGUUACAGGCCCUGUGGAUCUCUUAGUCAGUCCAGGAUUUGAGUCCAAUCGAAACUGACCCGAAUGUUGCCGGACUAUUAUUAUGUGCAACGACCAAUUUAACUUGGCAGUACCUGCCUUUCAAAUUCUAAGACACAGACAAUACUUCGAUUCCUGUAACAAAAUCAAUCUGAGAGCAUUCAGCAGCUCGAUUUGCCAAUUCAUUUCGCAGUGAGUCUCUCGUCCUGUUUUCCCUUUUUUCUUAGAAAUCAACUAGGGUUUCUUUACUCCUCUUCUGAGCUUCUAUUUAUCAUCUUUGAAUUAUUUGAUUAUUUGGGUUUGUUUUGUAUCUUAACUGAGAUUCAAUUAUCUUUAGGGUUAGUUGGUCAGUUUAAGUGUAAUCGUCAAAUGAAUUAAAAAGAAGCUUUAAACUUGAUCAGAAACUGAAGUAAAUAGGAAUUUAGCUUCCAUUUUGCUUAUUUUGGCUUCCGUAGCAUUUCACUAAACCAAGUAGUGUUAUCUAGGUGUAGUGUUUGCAAUGUAUCUGAAAUUUGCUUCUGUUAGUGGACUUAUAUUACCGUUUAAGGGGUAAUUAUUUUGCUAAAAGAGAUUUAAAAUGAUGAAUGCUAUUGCCUGUUUUGUGAUUUCCUAAGUAUUGGCAUUAAGAACUCUGAAACCGAUGAGUUUAUUAUUAUUUGUAGCUAUUUCUGAGAUAAUGCCACCCAGUUUAUUUUGAAUCUUUUUAACAUUUUGUAUACCAAUUUGAAGAAAAACUAUUGUGCCAAUGAAGGAUUUCAAGAUCAUAUUCUUUCUAAAUCUUCUUUUGUUAUCCUUGGUUAUGCAUUUAAUAUCUCUGAUUAACAGGAUAGUCUCUUAUGUUGUAUCACAUUUUCUCUGUUUUCUGUCAAGGUUUAUGAAUUGGAAAACUUAUGGGUUUGGCAUCGGCUAGCACUGCUACUGAUGGUAUGCAAUUAUGCAUAUUUGACUUGAGAAGGGGACAAAAUGAAGGGCAGGAGCUAGACAAGAUUUUGUUUUUCUUCCCUGCUGAUUUGCCCUUUUCAACACAACUUUCUGUGAUAGGACUCAGCGAAGGACUUAUCACAUUUACAAGGUCAGUGACCAUCUUGAUUGCAGAUUUUGUGAAUAAGAGCUAAAGACAUCUUGAAAUAUUUUUAAUUAUGCUUUAGUUGGAAUAAUUAUGAUAUUUGGGAUUAAUUGUAAAGAUCAGGUUAUUAGAUUUUAUUUAAUAGUGAAAGAUAGAUUUAGGUAUGAAUUUGUUUCUAGUUGCUACAUAGCAUGUUCUUGUCAAGAGAAGAUGCAUUGUAUACUCUAACCAGUCUAAUACGUAUUUUUUGGCUAUCACCAAUUCUAGUUGGCUUACGAUCUCUUUCAAUUUUAUUGGAAAACCAAUGAAAGGAUUUUGUUCCUGUAUUUCGUUUUAGCAUGACUGUAAUUCAAGUAGUUUGGUUGUUUUGAGGCAUAUAACAUUAGCUUUAUGCAGAAUUUUCUCACCGGAAGCUGCAUGUGAAGUCAUAGAAGCCGAGAGGCACUCUCAUGUUUUCUAUGAAGCAGAAACAGAUAUCUGGAUGGUGAUGGUAGGAUAACCAUUUCCUCUAAUAAUCCAUGAAGUGACAAUGAUUACAUGCUCUGAUCAAUUACUCUUUACAUUAUGAUAAUUAUGCUGAAAUGUUAUAUCUGUUUGCAUAUCCUGAUUAUUGUUUUAUUGCCAUUUUGUUUAAAUGUUUUAUCUCUUGGUUGGUCCUUUAUUUGUGUAUCCUCUCUAGGGAAACUAAUUUUUAUCAUAAGCUUUUAUUAUUAAUUCCAUUUGCAGUUUUGCUCUCAAUUCUGGUAAUCUUUGAACUAUAUAAGACUUUUAACAGCCUGUUUGGAAUUAUAAGUUACUUAGACAAUUCACAGUGUGAGUUAUGAUGUUCUCAAUCAUCAUGAUGUCUUCAUUCAGAAUUUUGUUAGCGUAUAUUAGACAUUUGUCUUAGCAUUAGGUCUUGCAGGUAGAUGUGGUUUUAUAACAGGAAAUGAGUUCUUCUGUCUACCUUCUGGCCGAAACUUUAUAUAUAGAGUGGUAAACUUACUGUUUUUAGGAUAAUUUGGCAACAAAUUCUAGCUAUAUCAUCAAAUCUUCUUCAUUUCUUUCUUCAAAUCAUAAUUGAUUUAAGACAAGUACAUGUAUGCCUUGAUCAGUCUGUAAUUUUAGAUUAAGGGAUUCUAACCUGUUCUGUAACUUCUUGAAGGUGGUGGAGAAAGGUAAGGAUUCAGAUGCCAUAUGGCGCAUUGAUGCAUUACGCAAGGUUCUUAAGGAAGUUCACUCUCUUUUUGUGAUGUUUUAUGGAUCUAUAAGAGCAAUGCUUGAGAAAGACCCUAGUGGUGGGCUAAUACGAUCUCAUUUGUACCCUUUCAUCAUGGAUUAUCUAAGUGGUAAUUAAUUCUGCAAUCAACUGGCCUCUAAAAUUACGUUAGAUCAUUGUUCUGCUGUCUUUGGUUCAACAUAUUUCAUUGUUAAGUCACUAAUUGUCAGCAUUCCAAAUACGGUCUCCCUUGGAUAACUGCUGCUGGGGUAAUGCUGAAGUUGCUGUAUCAAAUGGCCUCUAUUGGACUUGUUCUACCGAAGCAUUGCUGAAGUUGCUAUAUCUUGUUCCUUAUAUGUAACUUUUCUCUUUGAGGCAGAUUUUCCUGUUGGGAAGAAACUCCAGUUACCCUCAUUCCGUGACUGUUUGAAGGAGCGUGGAACUGUACAAAUGCUGACCAUGGGGCGGGAGGCUGCGAUUGAAGUUCAGGUUUGUCUUCAGAAUCAUAUAUAUAAUUGAGUCAUAUUCAAUCGUCAGAUAGAAAAACAAGCAACAUUUUAGUCAAAUUUCUUUAGUAACUCUCAAGGACUUAAGUUCAAAAACCUCAUAUUUUCCCUAACUAUAAUCUUCCUAAUAGUUAAAGUUUAUUUUAUUGUUCCUUUGAUACACGAUCGACGGAUUGAAGCAUAACGGUGUGUGUUAACAUGAUACAAAUUGUAAUCUUAUGGCUUAUAAGUGAAAGAUUGUUUAUUUUCUUGUUGGUUAAUAGUUCUGAUUAUUAAAUUUGAUAUUUGCAGUCACUUGUCAGUGUACUGGAUUCUUGUGCUGGGAACUCAUCUUCCUACUCAAUGAUUUUAUUUCACGAUCUUCUGGUGUCCACAACACUUUCUCCUGUAUGGUUUGAUCUCCAAAGCCCAAUUGGGUUGACAAUAUCUGUCUUAUUCUAUGUCAAUCAAUAUUAUCCUUGAAGUUUAAGAAAUACCUAUUGAAUUUCUUCUCAUAGAAUAGUGAUAGGGUCCAUUUUGGGGUAUUCUCUUUCAUAAUUGCUAAUCUCCAUUGCAUUCUGUUGGUCAGGAUGACACCAUAAACUUAUUUACAUAUGCUGCUCUAAGGUUAAGCCCAAAUGCUCUAUCCUCGGGAGUAAAUUCCUGGUCCUAUAUACGCAGAGGAAGUACCUCAUCUCAUUUUGUGUCAGGGUCUGCCUUGACCCACUCUGGUCCUGUUUCAGAACAAAUUUAUCAUUCAAGUGAUACCUCACCUGUCGGGAACAACAUUAAUCGUGUUACACGGGCUCUACAGCAUGGUAAGUGGUACAAGGGGAAGGAUGGUUUUCUUGUCACUGAUAUAUGGGGUGUGGUCGUUGGUAGCUUGGUUUGUGCCACCCCAACAGUUUGGCUUCAGCAGACUGAGGAGGCAAUGUAUCUCUGUCCUUAUCAGUUCAAAAGCCUUACUUUAAUCCUUCUCAUUCCCGUUUCCUCCAUCCUUAACGGAGAGCAAGGUGUUGCUUUGGUAAAGCAGCAACUUCUCGAAAACGUGAGUUCCCUACUUUUGUUUUCAGCUGAUGAUCGUUUUUCACAAAUGUUUAUUCUUCUCGUAAGCACUGUCAUUUCUCAAUCAGGCAUCACUUAAGAUAUUAAAAGUUGAAGAGAAACUAUCAAAAGGAUGGGGUGGCGAGAAUGCAUAUCAUGUUAGUGGGUAUCGAUACUUGCUUGUAGAUGGUGACAGAAAUAUAUCAAGGGCAUCUCCGCCAGGAAAAGUUACUACUUUAGCAAAGGUAAAGUGCACUCUAUGGUGUUGCUUUGUGACAAUAGAUUGCCUUGUUAUAUUUAACACAUGAGAUUGGAUCCAUUCUAUCAUCUCUAGCAAAAUUCUUAUGGCAUUUGGCAAUACCAUGUAAAAUGGGAUAUUGUAGCCCUGUUUCUAAUCUGCAGAAGAAUUUCUUUGAGAUGAUAUAAGAUGUUCAAGUUGGUUUAGUAAUUGUAUUGUGGCGUGGCAGGAAUCACUACUUGCCUUAAGCAAACUCAGAGACGAGGUAGAUUUGGAAAAAAGUAGAGCAAAACGGGAUAAUGCUGGUUGCGAGAAAGAUUUGGAAGUAAGCAUAAGAGCAAAAAAUAAUGCUUGGGCUGUUGCUCGAAUUACCGGAGGGAAGGAGCUGUAUAUGGUUCUAGAAAAAGCCAGUGAAACACUUCUUUAUGCCUCUGAUGCUGUUGAGAAGUUUAGCAACAGGUAGUGUAUUUCUCUCACAAUUUCGUAAUGAAUGUUUUGCAGUGUUGUCAUCAUCAUCAUGAUUAUUCAUCACAAUGAUUCGGUUGGGUUAACUUUGUUGCUACUGUUAGUACUCUGUUAAGAGUUUCAUGAUCUUAGAGAAGUGGAAUAUCAACUGUAAGCAAAGGACACUGUUAGUACGAAAAUCAUUUACCAAUAUGGGGCAAAACCCUUCUAGCCAUUCUCUCAUCUCAUUGGACUGAUCUGUCCCAUGUAACUCGACCAAUUGUGAAUUGAAUAUUACUUCCUUGACUUUGUUCUAGUUAGAUUUCAGUUUGGAAUGAAUAGGAUAAAUUCCGCUAUAAGGCCUAUCUAGCAACAGUGCUGAAUAUAUUAACAAUCAAUUACUAGAUUUCUUAAUGUUUAAUUUUUUUUUGCUUUGAUAUGUUUCAAGUUGGAUCGAUGAUCUCUAAUCAACACGAGAUAAAGUUACAUUGUGCUCCGAUGAAUUAUGCAGGUACUGCAACGGAGCAUUUUCCUUGGAUUAAGGAUAGAACUUUCUCAUCUCCAGCAUAAAUGCUCAUAAAAUUAAGAUGAAGGAUGCAUUUAACUAGUCGGAGUAUUCUUCUAUUUUCGGAUUCUUAUGACAAGGAAAUAUUAGAGGAAAACAAUUUGGAUCUGUUGUAUAUAGAGCUAUCUGUUUGUUUCAGUAAGAAUUAUUUUUUAUAAAUUGAGAAAUUGAUUAUUUUUUAUAAAUCUAAAAGGUCGUUUAGUGGCGUGCGUUAAAAAUGACUAAGGUGCCUCUGGUAUUGUUUUGGAAAUGGUAUUUUUGUAUUUGUUUAAUAAUAUAGGAAUGAUUAAUUCUUGGUGAACUUGAAAAUGUGUUUGGUAAUUUACUUUUAAAAUGAUAUUCAAAAAAAUAAAAAAUAAAAAAUGUGUUUGAUUGUUUAUUUAAAAAAUUGGAGACAAAUGAAAGAGAGGAAAAAGUAAUUUUAUUCUAAUGAAAGAGUAUUGAUGGAGCUCAUUAAAUAUUAACUAUUAUUAGAAAAACAUCAAUUUAUUUUCUUUAGAGAGCUUGUAUUUAAGGUAAUAUCACAUUAAUUUGUGAAAAUCACAUAAUUAUUAUAACAAUCAGGAUCAAUUUAAUUUUUUCAUUAAUAUAGCUGGUACGAUUUUAUAUUCUUUUUUUUUUUAAUUUUAGUUCGGUUAUUCUACAAUAAAAUGUUUAGGGAAAAUUACCUAUCUAUCCGCCUUUAUAAAUCCAUCAUCAAAACUCAACAUAUGAUGAAAUUUUUUUACCAUAAAUCCAUAAUAGCCGCAUGUAGCAAUUAUGGACCAAAUUACCCUUAAAACAAACUUAACAAAUCCAAACAACCAAAAUCUAUGGCAUCCAAAACUUCCUCCAACAACUAAAAACUAUGCUCCACAAAACUCCCACCAUCUCACCUCUCAUCUCACAACGGCUGUUACCAACCACUGAAGACAAAAUAAAUCAACAAUUAAAAAAUAAUCAAGAAGAGAUUGGGGUUAUUGUGUUUAAAAUUAGAUUGUGAGAUGGAGUUUUAUGUGUGGGUUUUGUAGAAGAAUGCCUUUGACAAUUUUAUUACAAUAUGGGUAGAUAUUUACUUAAAUGAGUCCAUAAAUUAGGUGAAUGUUACUGUUAUGGUAAGAAAUUGUGUCCUGUGCCUAAUUUUGAAAAUGAAUUUAUAAAAGAAGCUAGAUAGGUUGAUUUCCCUAAAGUAAACCCGAGUCUACUUGUAUUUUGUUUUUUUUAAAAAAAAAAACAGUGUUAUUGUAACUUACGGGCCCUAUAUUUCCAAAACGGGCCAUCGCCAGAUAUAUCAAUAAAAUUGGGCUGGGCUGAUUUACUCAGACAAGAAAUCAGCCCAGCAAUAAAACCUAAAUUAGGGUUAGGGUUUUUUUUAUCUGUCUAUAUAAAAAAAGCAAGCUGGUUUUACUUCUGAUCUGAGCGAGCUGAGUGUUUGUCUCGUCGUCCGCCGCAGUUAGGUACUUUUCUUUAUCUUUACCUGUUUUUCCCCCCCCCCCCCCCCCCCAAAUAUUUCUUUGCAGUUACUGUUGUUGCUAUUGAAAUAAAUAAAUCUUGUGGUGGAAUUGUUUUUGAAAUGUCUCUGAUGAUGUUUAACUAUAUUAACUUUCGUUCUACUGAGAAAACAAUUAUGCGGAAUCCAUAUGGAGACCUGAACUGAGGAGACUGUUUAUGUGCUUUGCUUCUUUUUCAUUUAUCAGUCUUAUUUUUAUCGCUCCGUUUCAUAAAUGAGACUCGUGUUAUUUUGUGCUUUAUUUUUCGUACUUUUUAGGCUAUUUUUUGGGCGAUAUAUUUUGAGUUUUAUAUAAAAUUUUAAUGUUCCCGAACCAGUGUUGUGUUUAAUUUAAGCUGUCUCUGAUGAUGAUUUUAAAAAAAUACUUUCGUUCUUCCGAGAUGAUACAUGCGGAAACAUUUUGGAGACCUGAACUGAAGAGGCUUACAUAUACAUGUGUGUAUUCCCAAUCUGGUCCGGUAUUUUAAAAUGUGGGAAAGUCCGGAAAAGCUUUAAACCAUGGUUUAAAACUUAAAGCUCAUAAACGUUUCUCUGACUUUCUCGUACUUUAAAAUUUCGAAUUAGAAUAUUUCUAAUAUAUAUAUAAGUUUUUAACCGAAGACACUCAAGUGAUGGAACUUGUUCUCUGUUGCAGCAUUGCCGUGGAUCCCGUCAUUUGAAAAGUAGAACAAUUUUUUUUUUUAAUUCUUAGAUUUUUUUUAGCUCAAAAAGUUGUUUUUAAGGUUUAUAGCUAUUAUGGCCUUCAUUUUGUUAUCUCCAACAUGUACAGUGGAUUGGGCAUUGGAGAUCUUAUCUCUUGUGAUGUUCAAAAUGAAAAACUUUCGUUCUCCUGAGCUUGAUAAUGCUGAAAAUCUUUGGAGACCUGAGCUGAAGAGUUUUACUCAAGAUCUUCCAUGUCAUGGCUACCUAAAUUUAAGUUUCCAGCUCUUAUUGACUAUUAUUGUAUUACUUAUUUGUUUUCCAUGGUAGUCAAUUUGAUCAAUGGGAUCGGUACAAAAAAUGUGCAGCCCUGUUUAGAAAUGAUGAUAAUAGAUUAUUACUUUAACAAUUGCUGUUUUUGUUUUGCUUCUGUUGUUUUUGGAUUUUGUCAUACGUUUGGUCUACACUUGAUAUGUGUUUUUAAGUAAAACUUUAAUGAGCAAUCAUUUAGCUGUGGGAGGUAAUGAUUGUCUUAGUGCCCACCUUUUCAGUACUCGAUUAAUGUUGAUGAUUUCAGUUGGCUUGUGGAUCUUUAACAAACUUUCAAAGUGUAUAGAUUUGUUUAAUUUGUGAAUUUUGAUUGUUGCCUUAAUUUUUAAUGUCUCAAAUUAGAACUGUUCAGAUUUUGCUGUUGUACAGAACAGUUUGUCAGUUUUAAGUGAUGUUUUAUUUUUGUGUGUUUCCUUGACAGGUUGUCGUUCAGUCUUGGCUUGAAGAAGCAAAUUGUCAAACAUGAGGUACCAAAUUUUUCUGUUUUCCCUUAUAGUUGUAAUAAUUCAUUGUUUUUUUACUUCUAAUCUUCUGAUGCUAAUUUUCCUCUGUUUCUUGUAAUGUCUCAAUUAGCAGUCGGCCGAUGGAGGAAGAUGUAAGUGUCUUCUGCUAUUUGCGUACAUGCACAUCUCACUCAUAAUUGUCCAUGUCGCCAUUUUGUUCAUUACCAAAUGUUUAUAAAGUUCAUUCAAUUGAUUGCCGCAGAAUGUCAAAAAUGAGGAAGAGGAAUUCAACACAGGUCCACUUUCUGUUUUGAUGAUGAGUGUUAAAAACAAUACCCAGGUAAUUUUCUUGAAUAAUUGAUGAUUCUCAGCUGUCUCCUGAACAGACUGUUCUUGUACUAAAAAGCAACCUGUUUUCACUUGUACUGCAGGUGCUUAUUAACUGUCGGAACAACAAGAAGCUUCUUGGUCGUGUGAGAGCUUUUGAUCGUCACUGCAAUAUGGUUCUUGAGAAUGUCAGGGAGAUGUGGACUGAGGUUGGUUAUCGAUGAUGAUUUAUACUGUCUACAAUUUAAUUUUUACCUUCAGUUAAAUAACAUUGGAUUCCUUUUGUCUAGUUGCCUAAGACUGGGAAAGGCAAGAAAAAGGCUCUUCCAGUUAACAAGGAUAGAUUCAUCAGUAAGAUGUUUCUCCGAGGAGAUUCUGUGAUCAUUGUUCUUAGGAAUCCCAAGUGAAGUACACACCUAGCUUGACAGCCUCAGCAAUUUUAACGAAAGAUCUAUAUGGACAAUACUGUUUGUGAUGGGUAAAAAAUGAGCCAGCAAGCCUAGAUUUGUUUGAAGGAUGUUCGCAUGGUAUUUGUGCAAUUGUGCUGCCAAGUUUGGGAGAUUGGUUGGAGUAUCUUAGGUGUCCUGACAUAAGGGUGACUUUUUUGGUGUGUUGUAAAUUCAAUGGACUAGAGAUGUUAUGGUGUGUAGCUCUUUACUAUUUUCUACUUCUAAUGCUCGUUUACUUUUAUUAAAAUCUUGAUCUGUAAUAUUGAGCCAUAAGCCUUGUGAUUCCCUACUCGACUCCUGCAUAUACAAUAGUUUCAUUUGUUACUUACUCUCAACACCCAGUUUCCACUGUGACUUUAAGAUCUUUUGUCAACUCCUCUUGAAUGGAACUCUGGACAAUAUUUCUGCAAUGCCUUCAAUAACAUUAGUUGUUACGGGACAUUAUUCUCUCUCUCUCUCUUGUCUCCAACAAGAUUCCUAUUUCCUAACACCUUAAUCUUUAUAGGGGUAUUGUUUCAACUAAUAUAAAAGAAAUACUACUCUGACUAAAUGAACAGCGCCUACAUCCAUCGUGUGUUAUCAAACAAAAUGGCAUGGUGGGGUUCAUUUCCUGGGAGAGUAUCAUUUCACUGCUUCUUAAAAUAAUGAAUCUCACUAGCAACAUUUAAAUUACAGAUUUGUCACAAGCGUAGGCCGUCAAGCUUACAAUAAAAAAUCACCCCUCCCACACAGAUUUUCAAUCAAUUGCAGACCAUACUCUUCUUUCGGCUGUUCAAUACAAUUUGCUUUAAGAAAUUUUCUCCAUAUAUUAUUUAUUAGCCUACCAGAACACAAAGAAGCAGUUGACCUUGCUGCUCUCGGCCGGCACACGCCUUUACUUAAUCUUGUGUGGUCUUUGCUUCUAACUUAAACGCGAUAUAGAGCUAUUUUGUGGAGCCCUUUUGGUAUGAUGAGAUAAUAUUAAGGGGUGAUCAUUCUCAUGAUGAUUGAGGCUGAAUAGAUGCACAAAUGCUUGAUUAUUAGACACGUUGGAUAUAAGGAUUUGCUCCAUUUCUUAGAUCUAAUUAUUAGUAAGACACAAAGUUUUUAAGGUUAAGAUGAACGAGAUGAGAAUUAGGGGUGGGCAUAUCGGAUUUCGGUUUGGGUUUCAACCCGAUUGGGUUGGAGAAUUGAACCCAAUCGGGUUGAAAAGGCCAACCCGAACCGAACCGAACCAAAUUUAAUUCGGUUCGGUUCGGGUUCGUAAUUCGGAUCGGAUUAGGUUGGUAAUUCAGGUUAGAACAGGUUGGAAUAAUUUAAUCCACAAAUUCUACCAAAAACCACUUAAAAUUCAAAAAUCUCAAACCCAAACAUCCUUAACAACAUUUCAACAAGUCCUUUUUAAGUUAAUAAAACAUAAAACAUGUAGUUGAAGAGAUUUUUUUUUGUUUAAUAUAUAUAUUUUAAAAGCCAAAACUUUUAAAAAAAAAAUUCAACCCAUUCGGAUUAAAAUUCGAUUCAGGUUCAAAUGGGUUGAUAGUUUGAAUCCGUUUGCGUUAACCCGAUCCGAACGCCCACCCCUAAUGAGAAUGAAUUGGAGAAAGUCCCACUCCUUUUCAUAUCACAAUAACAAACUUACAUGUAAAAGUUCUUCUCAAAUGAUAUAAUUUCUUUUUUUGUUACAUGGAGAUUUAAUAAUAACCAACAAGCUCCUUUUUUUUCCUAUUUACAAUAUUAUAUUAAUUUGUUUUUAAAAAAACAAUAUAUAAAGGGGAAAUUGCAUCUGGGGCGUUUUCAAACCAAAAUUUGAGCAAAAUGCUAUUAUUUUAUCUUAGUUAUUUAUGUAUUUCCAAUCUUGAUGAGGAUGGUCGAAAGAAUUAUGGUAUAGUUGAUUCUCCCACCUUGAAGAAAACGAACAUGUGUCCUCCACCCACAUUAAUUUAACGAUUCAUUUAUUAGAAAAAUUUAUUUUCUGGCCUAAGAAGGUGGAGAUAUAUGAAAAAGUAAUUAAAAUUAGAAUAUCCUUCCAAUAAAUAAAUAAACAAAAGAUGAUGAUGACUCAGACGCAAUAAGCACACGUCCUCCACUGGCCUCUGCACUUUAUAGGUACGACCAUUAUGAAUGAAAAAAGUUUCCAUAUUCUUUCUUGUUUUAGCAUGUCAUAAUUGCUAAGCCUCACAAUCCCACUUAAUAAAGUUAGUGUAAAUGUAUGUAUGGGAAGAAACAUUUUUUUUUCUUUAAAAUUAUAUUUUUAGUACCAUACAAUCAGAUUGCAACCAUAGUUUUUGAAACCCUAGAUUGGCAUAAAACAAGUGUGCGUGUGAGAAUGUAUAUAUAUAGCCGAUUUAGUGCACGCCAUCGUGCAUGUUAUGUAUGGUUGGGUCUCGCAUUCUGGCUCCUUCUCUAAUGGGAGCAUGCCAUGUGCAUUAGAUCAUAUAUGCGCGCGCGCACACACACACACAUAUAAAUAGUUGUUUAUAUAGAAUUCAGCAUGGUUAUUGGUGACUGGUGUGUGUUGGUUCAGCUAUUACAAGAUCUAGCAUUGUACAAAAGAUUUAAAAUUUGAAUUUACUCCUAAAAGAGUAGGAAGCUGGGUCUGAUUUUACAUGUACGUAACAUUUAAACGCAAGAUUAGAAGUACAUUAUUAUGAGCAAGAGUGAUUUAGCUGCUUCCAAGCAAGGAUAAGAUUUUAAGUAAACUCAUUCAUCUAUAAAUACAUGUAGGGCAAAUACCUCUUCUGGCCGCCCAAGACUAGCUAACUAGAAGUUCAAUCCUGGCUGAUAUCUCAUGUGUAAACGAAACCCAAGUAAAAACAACAAACACAGAAUCAUUGAGUUGGCACCAACACAUACUAAAAUAAUAAUAAUUAAAAAGUUUGAAGCCCGUGGUUGAUCAGUUCUUAUCUUUGUCUAAUUGUUCUUUAGCAUGCGUGUGUGUAAGAUAAAAAAAAAAUAUAUAUAUAUAUAUAUAUAUAUAUGCAUGAUAUGUCAGCAAGGCGUGUGGCUAGAGCAUGGUAGAGUCAAGCAGAUAAUACGGGCCAGUUGGUACAUGAAAAAUAUUAAUUAAUUUAGAAAAGUCACAGAGAAUCUCGCCCUUUUUCGGCUUUUUUAAUGGAGUGCGUGUGCCUACCACAAGCAAGAAAAACAAAAUAUAUAAUAAAGAAAAAAUCUUUUGAUGAUCACAGCUUUUCCAGGGCCUCAUCACGUUCUUCAAAUUUAAUCACUGUGUACUCUGUGUGUGUGUGUGUGCACAUUCAGAUUCUGAUGAGGUGAGACGUGGGGCUCUAUAUAAACCAUGGCCGUUCAUCUUAUCUUUAGGCUGGCCUUUAUACUGUACUAUAGUGAUAAAAAGCUGAAAGAAAAAGUCUUUUUUUUUUUUUUUUUUGGGUAUGUAUUAUAUGUUUGAAUAAUGGUUGGCGGCAAAGAUGAAUGGGACCUGCUCCCAAUUUUUGAUCUCAAAGUGGACUAAUUUUUUUUGUUUUAUUGAUUAAUUAUUCCUCUUUCAAUUUGGUUGGUAGGUAUAACUUUUUAUUUUUUUAUGCGAAAUUUUCAGAUCGAGCUCAUUGCUUGUUCAAUUUCUUGUACUGUUUGGCCCGAAAACAAAAUGGGGAAUUUCUUUUUUUUUUUUUUUUGAGAAACAAAAUGAAAAGAAAAGGGAGGAAAAGUUUGGUACUUGAAAAUAAAUUAUUUGGUAGUGGAACAACCUAACAAGCUGAUCAUAAAUUAAAAUUAUGCAUAAUGGAACUAUGGAAGAACAGUAUUCAUGAUGAUUGAAAAAGAAUAUAUAUUCGGCAUGCAAAUGAAAGAGAACCACAUGGCUAAUUUGAGAGAUAUUCUGGAGUACAUAGGAGGUAUUAUAUUUAAUUAAUUUAUGUAUGACUUGUGUAAUUUAAUUAAAUAUAGUUAUUAAUUACAUAGUGAUUUUUCAUAAUAAAUACACCCAUAGCAUAUAUGUAUAAGGUCAUUUUUGGAAUUGAAGUGUUGUAGUUAAAAGCUACAACAAUUGUUAAAAAAACUACAACUAUAAAAUUAAUAGAAUGC
RNAcentral lists this long non-coding RNA (82821 nucleotides) under Citrus x clementina. RNAcentral's name for it is "Citrus clementina (C. clementina) long non-coding RNA (CCLE_LNC005590)". The stretch from base 76951 to 77036 matches the Rfam family "Small nucleolar RNA Z159/U59". Lineage: Eukaryota; Viridiplantae; Streptophyta; Magnoliopsida; Sapindales; Rutaceae. The record is from RNAcentral.